AAAGCAUCUACCUGUAACACGGGGCCGAGUUUCUACUCUGUAAUCUACGUAGCUACCAUGUGCAUGUAUGUCAUCAACGAUGCAAAGUAAUUCAUCCGAACAGAUGGUUUGUACGUAACGCUGUUACUAUACACUUCCUACCUUGGUAAAUGUAUAAUCGGGUGGACAUUUUGAGCCCGUAUGCACGGGGGCCUCCUAUUAUACUGCGACCAACAAAAAACAAUAUUGAGGGGUAUUAUUCAGGUGCGCUUAUGUGCCGCCUACUGCGAGGUCUACAGAGCGGCCGUCGUGGGCCAGCCCAGCGGUACGUGGAUCGUCUUGCUGACUUCACACAACAUUUCUUUUUUCUCUUCUAGAUUGUGUUUAUAUUUCAGUUAAAUGCACAUAUUCAACAAAUAUAUGUACUUGCAAAAUUUUAGGAAGGCAAUCUAAAAUAUUUAAAAUAGGGUGAAAAAUUAGAGCAAUUUUAAAAAUGUUAACUUUCAAAAGCAAAUGUUUGUGACAAUUAAAAAAGGAAAACGUUUCCUUUCCGCCGGCGGAUCUACCAUGAGCAUCAACCGCCUCGACUAUGUGUCAUGUGUCACCAUGACCCACGUUUUUCUCUCAGUCUUAUCCUUUUCAGAGAACUCGAAGCUUCAUCCUCUCCUCAAAAAUAUUUCCGGGUCGCUCUCCUCUAUCUCUCAGGUCACCGCAUACAUAUUCAAUUCCUCACACACGAAGCGCCUUGCAGUCAAGCCACCAACACGCUUUUGCUGCUCCUAGCAGCAAGCAGCCAUGGUUUUCCCUCAUCCCUUGCAACAAGCAGACCUUACUCCUCCCACUCUUUCCUUUUUACAUCAAGUCAUGGCGCCCCAAGCUGCCAGUUUGUGAAUAUGUGGUCGAGCUGCUCGCGGUUGCUAGCAGUUGAUACUGCGCCAUCAGGGCACACUGCCACAAGGCUCGUCCCCGGUGCUACAAGGCCGGCGCUCAGCUCCUAUAGCCACCGAUGCUCUGUAACAGUUGCGGAGACUUCCCGCGGGCGCAUGAUCUAUCCGCAACUGGAUUUCUGCAACAACGACGUUGUUGCGAUUAACGGCAGCGAAGCUAGUGCAAGUAGGUGCAAUAACGAGUUUCCGCAACAUGGUCUCUGUUUCAAAAAAUUAGAACAAAUAUCUUGUUGCAAAAAAAAUUCUGCAACAAGCAAAUUGUUUUUGAAACUCGACCGUUGUUUCAGGAAUUAACAGGUCCAAAGUUUAUUUCUUGCAACAAAGGAAAAAUUUCUGCAACUCGAUCGUCGUUUCAGGAAUUAUAAGGUGUCCAGCUGGAGCGGAUCCGAUGGUUGCGCGUAGAUCCAGCGUGCUUGUUUCUGCAACUGGAGCGUUGUUUCAGAAUUUUUUGUGAUGGACGGAGGCGACCGAACUGACGAUCUGACGGUGCACGCGUAUACAUCGGACGGCUACAAGGAUUGUGGAUGAUUACUACAAAUCCAUCGAUGGAUGCCUAGCAGUCUCCAUUAAAAAAUAUACCCGUGAUUCAACAAAAUGUGUAUACAACGUCAAAAAAGUUCGAGAAAUUAAGAUAAUUUAAUGAUAAUAUUCCAGGACUUCAAAAACAAGUUCCUCACAUUUCAAAAAAAUAUAUAUAUAAAUGUAAAACAAAUAUUCGUGUAGAUUAAAAAAUGUAUAUUUCCAUUAAAAAUGUAUCGUGACGUUUUAAGGAAAAUAUCCGCGUGUUUCCAAAUAUUAACCGUGAGUUCUAUAAAAAUAUAUAUACAACAUAGCAAAAAUGUUUGUGGAGUUUAAAAUUAGUUAUUUCUAUUUAAAUAUAUACAACGUGUAUUUAGAAAAACUUUAACAUAUAUUAAAAAAGUUUUCAAAACAUGUACUUUGCAAAAUGUGCAUCAUGUAUUUCAAAAGGUCCAAAGUGUAUAAAAAGGUUUCGGAAACAAUCUUGAUGAGCCGGCGGAUUCACCGCGAGUCUUCCGCCGCCUCUAACGCAUGAGGUAUGUCUCGUAUGGGCCCGUGCACCACACUACUCCUUUCUCCCUUAUUUGAAUAGAGUCGCUCGUUUCUUAUCCGAUAUAGAUCCCCUUUUCUGGGGUUUGUGCAACUUGCUCGCCCGGGCUAGGCGACCUAGGUCGCUGGGGUGGGCAAGAAUUGCCCAACCCCCCCCCUCCCCCCGGUUCUUGUUUAUGGCGUCUUGGUAUGAGGGUGGUCGUCGGGGGUUUGGACGACUUAGUCGUGCGGGUUAGGCGACCUAGGCCACCGGGGUAGGCGAGAAGUGCCCUAACUCCCUGUUAGUGUCGUGACGCUUGGUAUGAGGGUGGUCGUCGGAGGUUUGGGCAACUUAGUCAUCCGGGUUAGGCGACCUGGACCACCUCGGUGGGCGAGAAGUGCCCUACCCCCCCCCCCCCUUGNNNNNNNNNNNNNNNNNNNNNNNNNNNNNNNNNNNNNNNNNNNNNNNNNNNNNNNNNNNNNNNNNNNNNNNNNNNNNNNNNNNNNNNNNNNNNNNNNNNNNNNNNNNNNNNNNNNNNNNNNNNNNNNNNNNNNNNGGUUAGGCGACCUAGGUCGCCGGAGUGGGCGUGAAGUGCCCCAUCCCUCGUUCUUGUUUCUGUGGCGGCUUGGUAUAAGGGCGGUCGUCGGGGGUUUGGGCGACUUGAUUGUCCGGGUUAGGCGACCUAGGCCAUCGGGGUGGGCGAGAAGUACCCUAACCCCUGUUCUUGUUCAUGAUGGCUUGGUAUGGGGGUGGUUGUCACGGGUUUGGGCAACUUAGUCGUCCAGGUUAGGCGACCUAGGUCACCCCGGUGGAGAUAAAGUGCCCUAACUACCUAUGCGUGAUGGCCGAUGUGCAGGUUGCACACUGUUGGAGCAUAUAUCUUCAUAUGUGGUUUUGGUACUUGAAGACAAUUCCUAUGGACUAAUGGUUGCCUUAAGUUACAUUUAUAGGAUUUGUCCAUAGGCACUUCUUGAAGUCCAUCUGUUGGGUUCAAGGAGUUUAUAUGAUGACCAAGAUGGUAUUCAAGGUAUUAUCCAAAGAAUGGUCAUAGAGACACAUGGUUGAUCAAGAUCUCAGACGAAGAGUAAAUCAAGAUGAUCAACACACAAAGCGUACAAGAUGUACCGAGAGGGAUCAAGUGAUCCCAUGGUAUGGAUUUGUCCAUAGGCACUUCUUGAAGUCCAUCAGUUGGGUUCAAGGAGUUUAUAUGAUGACCAAGAUAGUAUUCAAGGUAUUAUCCAAAGAAUGGUCAUAGAGACACAUGGUUGAUNNNNNNNNNNGUGGUAUGGUAAGCAUUGUCCAUUACGUGUUUGUGUACUAACCCAUGGUCUUCGUGAGAGUUCUAUGUGGGGGUUAGGUGUGUUUACAUGGGCUUGCGUCAAAGGGAAGAUCUCAUACAACCCAUGGAGUAUGACGUCAAGUUGUGAUCGUCAUCAAGAUUGCGAUGUGCAAGUUCAAGUGGAUCAGCACGAAGAUAGCAUGCUUGAAGCUUGCCGUCCAUUGUGGUGGCAAUGGACUUGUGAAGAUAUGCUGAAGAGUGGCUCACCCAUAGUGAGUAUGGGGGAGAAAUCAACUAGUCUUCAUCAAGCCAACACAAUCAAGAAAGGUGGUCCAUCUUGAGGAAGCCAAGAUCAUCAUCAUCUAGCUCACGAGGACGAGGUGCAAGGUAUAGGUUUGCCCUUGAUAGGUUUUCUGGUUAGGAUAGAUUGUUGUUCUACCAAGGGGGGCUCUCAAGUGAGUAGCUUGAUCAUAUCGUGUAAUGCCCCAAGUGUAGAACUUUCCCUUCUUGUAACCUUCCAUGUANNNNNNNNNNNNNNNNNNNNNNNNNNNNNNNNNNNNNNNNNNNNNNNNNNNNNNNNNNNNNNNNNNNNNNNNNNNNNNNNNNNNNNNNNNNNNNNNNNNNAAACAUACCAGGUUCAAAAUACUAGCACUAAACCCAGGCCAGUUCUCAACAGAAUGACCAGCACAUCCUCAUCUACAGGGGAAGAAAAUGUUUCCAUCAUCCCAGACUUAGUGAAAUUUACAGAGUUCAAAAAUCUGGAAUUUUCCAGCCACAUGCCCACUUUGUCUAGGCUUAGUUUGCACACACAUGUCACCAAGAGGUAAUUGACACCACUAUGGUGUUGAGCACAAACCCCUACAAUUAACACACAACACCCCAUGCCCUUGGGCUCCAUCUAUACCAUGGAAUCAAGGACCAAACUUUCAACAAAACUGCAAAUGCAACUCCAUAAGGUAUUUCUUCUAAGAUGACAACUACAUAGGUUGAGUUUCAUGUGCACAAUGACAAAGUGACAUGGGGGUUUGAACCCCAUGUUUGUGUCAUGCACAUCAACAACACCCACACAUAUAUCACACUAACACUAGCAUCAAGCACAACAAAACAUAAAUCCUAUGCUAACAAGAGAGUUUGCACACCCUCACAUAUGGGCAUGUGAUGGUACACACUCUCACAUGAAUUAGUAGGAUCACCCUAGGAAUCAUGUCAUCCUCAAGGUGCAACCCCCACAACAAUCUACCCUAGCUUAACUAGUAAGCUCCACCUUCACAUGCUAUCAUAGCUAGCCACCUAGUGCAUCACAUCACAUCAAAUACAUGUGGUGAGGGGGAGGCAUCCACACCCCACUAAAUCUAUGCAAGCAAUUAAAACUACAAGAACAACUUAGCCCACACUAAAGCUCAAAAGAUGGGGCUAUACUUGAUUAACUAGUGCAACUUCCACACCUUAAAGCACAACACACACAAUUGGCAAAACAUCUAGCAUCAACCCCUAUCAAGGGUAACUUCACUUCACUAAGGUGCAACCACCAUAAGCAUCACAAGGGUAGCAACAUCAUCUAUCACCACUUAGUGUGCAAAACACACACACAAUUAAAUCUACCCUAACUAUACUAGCAGGAACAGAAAUAAAACACCACUGUGUAAAAGAGUUAACUAAACAGCAGAAUUAACAAAACUAACAAGCCACUUUGUAUAGGAGUUAGGAAAACAGAAAUUAAGUAGGCAGAAAAAGAAAAUAAAGCAGAAAAAAAGAAACAGAGGCUCCUGGGAAUCGAACCCAGAACCUCUGGUUCUAGCAACAGCAACACACCACCACGCCACUGUCAUCUAGUCGACAGGAUAGAGGAAGGAAACAGGGUAAGCUGAUUCACCGAUCACUGUGCAAAGAAAGAGCAAAAUGAAAAGAGGCCGAGGGGGAAUCGAACCCACGCCCUCUCAUCAGGCACAAACACUCGCUACCACUGCACUACGGAUCGAUGUCUGAACAUAUACACACUGCAAAUCAGAAGAGGACACCCCCGACACUUCUGCUACCGACGACUGGCCGGAACAGGGGAGGUGCCUCGCCGGCGCUGCGAGUCGAAUCCGUCUUCGGCUCGUGGAGGGGAGGAAGCCCUCAUCCACACGGAUCCAUCCCCGCACCUAACUAUGCCCGAGGGGCUCUACUGCGACGUGGCCACGGCGACCUGCGGCUCCGGCGACAGAAACAUCACGUCGGCGAUCCCUACGGCUACGACGCCCGAUCAUAGGCAGGGAGGAAGGAGGGGGGUGCACUACCUCGUGUACGAGUCGAGGAGGGAGCGACCGUAGAGGAAGUAGCGGGAAGAAGAGCGCGUCGCGGCGGAGAUCGUCGGAGAAGAAGGGGCUCCGGGAGGAAGAGGAAGCAGUGUCGGGGACGUCGAUCUGGCGGCGGGAACGAGCCCGUGGUGAGGCCCGCGUGCUCCUGGACCCCUCGACGUGGAGGAGAAGGUACCACGGCGACGAUGGUGAUCUCCUUCACCCGUCGGCCAUCGCGGAAACGGCGGCUUACCUUACCGCGACGAGAGAGAAAGGAGGGGGGAGGGAUCUGGUGGAGCGGCGGCGGUAGGGAAACCCUAGCCGAGGCACGGACGCCAAGGGCUUUUAUAGGGCGAGAGGGGAACGAGGGACGCGCCGCGGUGCCAUGUGCGGGGAGCUUCGGCUCGUGGAGGAGGCGAGGUGAGAGACUGACCAGUGGGGCCGCCUGCCUCGCUGGAAAGGGGAGGAGGACGACGCCCGCGCUCGUGACUCGGGGAGAAGUGGGCUGGGCCGCGGGGGUUAUUGCCAUAGGCGACAGAUAGAGGAAAAGACUGGGAGGGGUUUGACUCUUUUUAAAAAUAAACUCAGCUAGGAUUUAAAUCCUCUAGCAGUUCUGUUGGGGUAAAAAUCGAAGCAAAAAUGCCUCUGGCCAUAAGGAGUUAUGGCCUAUUAGAAUAAAAUAGGAAAACAAUAUUUGGAGCCAAUUGAAAUAAAUGCAAAACAGUAAUUAAUUUACUGUUUUGGGUUUAUUUGCACCUUUAAAAUCAAAGAACAAAACAGCAAAUUCACACAUCAUCAUAACCACAAUUUACUCUAUCCACAAGACAUUUUAGAAUAACUUUUGGGAAGAUAGGAUUUUGACAUGAGAUAAUAGGAGGGAAAAGGAUUUUAAAUAGCAAAGAGCUUUGACAUAACCUAGCACUCACUCCUACACAUCACACACCAACAUCACAUGCAUCACACAAGAUAUUACAAUACCCCAACACCACACCUAGCAAGAUCACAUGCAAGCAUAACAUGACAUAGAAUCAAAAGGUAUGGCAAGGAUGGUGGCAUGGAUGCAUGCAUGCAAAGCAAAAUAGAAGGUGACACAUGAAAUCAUACAUGCAUAGAAACUCUCAUGACAAAGUCAAGGUGGUCCCACAUGGAAGCUUACAAAAAGGGAAAGUCCUACACUUGGGGCAUUACAAUAAAUCUCCUUACAAGAAAGUUCAAAAAGCUUAGCACCUUCCACUCUUACGUAAUAACACACACAAAUGAAAAGGGCGCUUGCUAGUGCAAACUUGACCCCCCGUCCCAUCUCGUGGGUCGCUCCUGCGACUCACGAGGCGACCGUCGACGCUCGCCUGAACAGGCGCGCCCCCGUGCUCCUCUCACUCGUCGCCACCGCCGACAGCAGGGAGGCUUCCUUCACCUCCUUCUCUCCUCCCUUGCCAUUCUUGCGGGCUCCCUCUUCCCGGCCGGCGACCAGAUCCGCCGAUAUGCCCUUCCUUGGCUGGUCGUGACCUUGUGUGUGUUGGAAUUAUGCCCUAGAGGCAAUAAUAAAUAUAGUUAUUAUUAUAAUUCCUGUAUCAAGAUAAUCGUUUAUUAUCCAUGCUAUAAUUGUAUUGAAUGAAGACUCAUUUACAUGUGUGGAUACAUAGACAAAACACUGUCCCUAGCAAGCCUCUAGUUGGCUAGCCAGUUGAUCAAAGAUAGUCGGUGUCUUCUGAUUAUGAACAAGGUGUUGUUGCUUGAUAACUAGAUCACGUCAUUAGGAGAAUCACGUGAUGGACUAGACCCAAACUAAUAGACGUAGCAUGUUGAUCGUGUCAUNNNNNNNNNNNNNNNNNNNNNNNNNNNNNNNNNNNNNNNNNNNNNNNNNNNNNNNNNNNNNNNNNNNNNNNNNNNNNNNNNNNNNNNNNNNNNNNNNNNNGCUGGAGAUGCUCUAAUAAAAGAGCUACUACUUCUGAUCGUCAGUCAUAUAUUUGUCUUAAAGUUGUCUUAAAUUACCCACUUCUUUUUCUCCUCCCUUUCUUUCUUUAUGGGAGCAAGCCUCCCCAGCGUGGGUUCAUGGGCCGGCCCAUGUGUUCAAGUUUUUUUUUUCAAUUUCUAUGCCUUUUCUUUUCUCAUUUCAAUUUUUAUUUUCCCGUCUUUCAAUUAAUUCUGGAUUCCUGGAAAUUCUAAACUUCAAAAGUUGUGAGUUUUGAUAAUAAUGUUCAUUAAACCAUAAAAUGGUUGGGAAAUCAUAAAAUGUCCACGGAUUAGAAUGGUGAUUCUGAAAACUGUUCGCAUAUUAUAAAAUAAAUUCAUGAUAUCGGAAAAUAUAUUCAAAAGAUAAAAAUCAUUCAUGAUUUUGGAAAUGAUCAUCUUUUCAAAAUAUAUUCAUGAAUUCGAAGAAAAUGUCUAUGAAAAUUUUCAGAAAUGUUCAUACAAACUAAAAAAACAUGAAUUCCAAAAUGUGUUCCCAAUCUUUUUUAAAGUUCAUUGUUUCAAAAAAAAUCGUUGAUUAAAAAACUUUCCUUGCAUUUCACAAGAUGUUUGCCUAAACGGAACAAAUGUUCGUGAAUUUCAAAUUUGUCCCUAAAUUUCAGAAAUAUAUUUGAAGAAUAAAAAAAACUAUGACUUGCAAUCUUCACUGCCCCAAGGAAUGAAGACGUGCCACACCAAUUCCAGUGGCCUGCUGACGCGACAAGAGUCUACACUGCAAAGGCUACCUAUAACAGACUGUGCAUGGGAAAGGAGAGAGCUGCCUCGUCGGAGUGCAUCUGGAGGAGUUGGGUUCCCCUGCGUUGCAAAAAAAUUACGUGGAUAAUGUUGCAAUACAGGCUCUGGACACUUGACAUGAGAGCGAGACAUGGGCUACAAGACGAACCUUCCGCCUCGUUCUCUUGCUUACAAGACCAAGACAAUGUUCACCACAUCCUCUGCCACUGUGUGUAUGCGAGAGAAGUUUGGCACGAACGCUUUGAGAGCCUCAACCUCAACCUCACACCGCCCGCCCCACCUAGUACGUUCGGAGACUAAUGGUUUGAUCGGAGUGGGCUCUUUUCGGGGAGAACCCUCCGUGGCUUCGACUUAUUCGUGAUCGGAACUGCUUGGGCAAUCUGGAAGCAAAGAAACGCGAGAGUUUUUAACAAGACCAAUAACCAGAUAACUCCAGCACAAAUAAUCGGACUUGUGAUUGUCAAGAUCAAGGAAUGGAAGCUCAACGGAUUUGGUGUAGGAGGUUUAGAUCCUUUUGUGAGAGAGUAGCUUUGUUGUUUCUUUGUUGGUGUUGGUGUACCCCACCAAUUGGAAUGUUCAUAUUCUAAUUGGUGUCUUGUUAACUCUAUUCUGCCUUCCAUAAAAAUAUGGUACAUCAUUGGCGUACUCUCAAAAAAAUAAGGGUAUGGUCAAUGCAUAGCCUCAUGAUGAUGCCUCGUAUGUUAGGAUCGGAUGUCAGAAAAAAGUAGGUUCGGAUGAGGAAGCGGGGUCCUUUACAGGAGGCGGGUGCUUGAAGAGAAAAGACGUGGUCCAAUUUAAAAAGCUAAACAAGUUAGAGUGUAAAAUACACAUGCAUGUUUGGCCUAACUUUGCCACAGUCGUUCUUCCCUUCUCCAUCAUCUUCGUAUCCCACUGUCCUUCCUACUCGAGCCACCUUCAACGAUGCACUUGAUGAGUGUGUUGCCACAAUCCACAAGACUCCUCGCCAGCAAAUUGUUGUGUCGCUAGAGGCAGCUUAUAGACUCCCGCGUCGCUCCCCGCAGUGGCUCAGGAGAACCUUAAAUCGCCACCGCCGCCACCCCACACCACACCCUCCCUCCACGCUGCCGUCGGAUGGCGUCGCCGGGCAAAGACCAUGUAGCGUCGACGGCGGCGGGGCCUUCUCCAUCUCGUAAGAUCUCGGGCAGCGCGAGGGCGGAUCACUUUUCGGAGAUGCAGGGCGCGGUCUAUCUUCGGGCGGCUCGCCGCCGAUGCACACGGAGGAGGGGGCGUGCUGUCGGCCCGAGGUGGUGCUUGAGCGGGCACGACACGGAGCUACGCGUGGGCGGGCAUGGAUCUGGGGCCAUCACCAGCAUGGGGCUCGCACGGAUCUAGCGCGGUCGCCGGCGCGCGCGGCAGAGGGGAGGUGAUGUGUUGCUAGGCGGGUGUCGCGGACGUCGAUCUGCGCGGCGGUGGGAGGUUGCGGCGUGGCUGCUCGCUGGAGCAGGGCGCGCGCGGAUCUGGCGCGGCCGCACGCGCUCGCAACAGAGGGGAGGAGUGGAGCAGCCGAGCGUGCGGGCGCUUUGCAGAGCGAGCGUGGCGCUGCGUGCAUGCAGGCUGCUCGCUCCAGUGGAGUAGCAGGCCUUUGAGAGGCCGCGUGGGCACCGGCGUGGUUUUGCCUGCACACGGAUCUGGCGCGUCACUGGUGAGAUGGACGCCCGAGGGACAGUUGGCGGAGAUGAAUGGAUCCCUUGUUUGGUGUUUCAUCCUCCCGAUGGUGGUUCGGAAUGCUCGAUGAUGUUGCGAGUGGGAGGACGAGAUGGCGAUAGCUGGAGGGACGGGAAUGGCGUCGCUACGGUUGUUGCAUCCUUCGUCAGGAGAUGAAUGACCCGUAUGCGUUGCAUCAUCAAGGAGACGAAUGGCGUCUUGCUUGGUUGCAUCCUUCCGAUGGGAGAAGAAUGACGCCGUUGCAGGGGUUGAAUCCUCCAUCGAGUGGGAGACGCGGAUACAAGGUUGGAAGCAUGUCGAGUUUGCCGGGGAUGUGUGGUUAGCCGUGGAGGCUGGGGUGGUGAUUUGGUUUGUAAGAUGAUCGGAUCCUGGGCUCGAGUUGUGUAGGUGUGAUGGCCGGUGAAAGUCGUACUCCGGUUCUGGCUGGAGUCGUUGAUGGCGGCGCCUUCGGGCGUCGCUCCCUCGCUGGAGGCAUCGAUGUAGCUGCUCCCACCUUGUCUUUUCGUGUCAUAUUUCACGGGAAACCCUAGAUCUAGUUAGAUCGGACGAUGGUGGUGCUAUACGGCGACAUGUUCCCUCUUGGGGGGCAUCGUACUGAAGACGGAUCCAUUCAAAGAGAUCAGUGGCCCGUGAGGAUGUCUGUGUUGUAUGUCGAAAGACGUCGUUUGUAUGUUUUUGGGUCCGAUUCCCCUCAUAAACUGGACCAACAUUCUUUCCUCUGAUCAAUGAAUUUGGUAGAAUAACUACCAACAUUCGAAAAAAGACUCCUCUCCAGCAGACGCCCAACACUAGGGAGCUAGGGUCGUGCGUUGCAGGUGCCGCAAGCACAUGCUGUCGAGUUGGAACGUCUACGUCACCAUGUUGUGAACCGCAUGGUGGCUGAAAAACGGAGCACAUGACCUGUCGGGGCUUCAAUAAUAGAUGCGGUAUGCUCGAACGUGUCGGCGGACGAUUUCAAUGUUUUAACCCUUUUUACAUAGUUUAGCUCGAUCUAACCGUGUUUGCAAAAAAAAGGAUCUGAUCUUUUUUCCUAUCGCCGGCCGCUGUGGCGGUAGGCAUACACAUACCACCGCCACAAAGAGUGGUGGUAGGGUUGUUUGACUCUGCUGACCCGAAUAAACCAUCCGCAUUGACCCGACCCCCUACCACCAUAGCCGGUGGUGGUAGGAAAAAGGGCGAGAUCUGAAAAUUUUCACAAACGGGAUCAGAUCAGGUUGAAGUUAACAAAAAGGGUCAAAACCGUGAAUUUUUUCCCUCCCGACAAAGGAGAUGCAACCGGCCACGCCAAGAGCUGGAACUAGUGCAUGCCUUGCUGGAAGAUACACGUGUCGUGUUGGAAUUGUGUUCUGGCGAUGAUGGAACCGUGUCCCGACCAUGCUGGAAUUGUACUGGCAGUGCUGGAAGGGGGGUUGGCGAUGCUUCAAAGCUCCAGGACGACAACCGAAAUGUUGGAGCGAGCAGGCAAAAAUGUUGGAACCAGUAACUCCUCAAGGUGCAUGAGAAGCAAUCGUGCUAUGCCCGACGAUGAUUUUUUUGCUGGAACCGGCUACCAACGGAGCUGCAACCACAUGAUGCGAAUGCAGGAACCGUUACUGAUGAAAGCUGGAACCGGUGUGUGUUUUUUGCUUCAACCGAUGAAGCGGUGCGAAGAUGACGACAGGUGCCGUCGUGAUGGGUUGCAACCGACAGCAGCAAAAGCUACUUCCGUUUUUUGUUGUUGCGAUAGUUAUACAUGCGGCGAGGGCAGGGACGAUACGUCAGCGGACGAUGGCCCAUACGUUGAGGACUCACUUACAUUAGGUUCACUCACACGAGGCUAAUUAGGGUAGGACUGGCUUGCAUUAGGUUUGCUAACAGUAGGUUUUCUUCUUUAUUUUUGUUUUUGAGAAGAUCCGCACGAAAAUGUAGUACAUCCGAUUUUGUUUCUUUGUUUUUCUUCACUAUUGAUUUUUCUCAAAAAAAAUGAUGACAACAGGAAUCGAACCUUGUACCUAGUGGUUUAGUCCUACUCUUGCUAGCCAUCUAGGUUAAUAUCUCACUAGUGCUUAGAUACAGGUUAGGCUGCUUUUAUUUUCAUAAGAGCUGCUAGUGCAUUACUAAAACAUACCUCAGAAUGAGUGAGUUGCUGACUACAUACCGUGGUAACUUCCAUGUAAAUAUAUGGUAAUACACGCACAUCGUGGCUGAUAACUCACGGGCAAACAUCGUUAUAACUUUUGACCCAAGAAAAAAACUGUUGACAUACAUACACCGGUAACUUAUAUGAAAACUUAACAUGGUAAUCUAGAAAAACCACAAUAGAGCUGAUAAUUUACUUAACCAAAGUGUGUUAAUUUUUUGACCAGGGAAAAAAGUUUUUGAACCACCCUUUCUUGUAACUCGUGUUUACUAGCAUGGUAAUCUAGAAAAACCACUAGAAAAACCAGAAAAACAACUAGAGAUGUACUAUUGGCGUAUACGGUUUUCGAAAGAAGAUAAAAAAAUAUGUCCGGUUGACUCGACGUUAGCAUAGUCAUUUUGUUUUAUGUUCUUUUCUUAUGUUCCUUUUUUUCCUUCGGUAUGUUCCUUUUUUAUGUUAUAACUUCAACCUUUUUUGUUUCCAUUGGUUUUCUUCCUUUUUUCCUUGGUAUUUUUUUGUUUCUUUCUUGAUUUUUUGAUUCUUUGUUUCUCUUUCAUUUUUUGUACUGCUUUUUCUAUGGUAUUUAUGUUUUCUUUUAAUAUUUGAUUUUAUUUCAUUUCUUUAUUUGAUAUGAUAUGGUAUGAUUUUUUUCUUGUAGUUUCUCAAUGCAUGUAUACACUUUUUUGCAUAUUACACAUUUUUAACACAUUAAGAAUAUUUUUUAAACACACAUUUAACAUUUUUCAAGUACAUGAUUAAUAUUUUUUAUUUCAUGUCUAGUGUUUACAUACACAUUGUACAUUUUUGUUAUACAUAUAACAUUUGUAAUACAAAUAAUCUUUUUAUAUAUGAUUAUUAUUAUUUAAAUAUGUAUUUUGGACACAUCAUGCACUUUUAUUAUACAUCUUAUAUAUUUUUAAUACAUGUUUAACAUUUCAUAUAUAUACACAUAUNNNNNNNNNNNNNNNNNNNNNNNNNNNNNNNNNNNNNNNNNNNNNNNNNNNNNNNNNNNNNNNNNNNNNNNNNNNNNNNNNNNNNNNNNNNNNNNNNNNNNNNNNNNNNNNNNNNNNNNNNNNNNNNNNNNNNNNNNNNNNNNNNNNNNNNNNNNNNNNNNNNNNNNNNNNNNNNNNNNNNNNNNNNNNNNNNNNNNNNNNNNNNNNNNNNNNNNNNNNNNNNNNNNNNNNNNNNNNNNNNNNNNNNNNNNNNNNNNNNNNNNNNNNNNNNNNNNNNNNNNNNNNAUUUUUUUGUGUCUACUUUUUUGAAUACAUAUUAUAUACAUUUUUAUAUACCGGAAACAUUUUUAUAGACAUUAAUAUUUUUUGAAAUUUAUGGUUAAUAUUUUUACAAAUUCUUGCAAAGUUUAUUUUAAUAUAUUCAUGUUUUCGAAUGCAUGAUUAAUAUUUUCAUAUAUAUUUUCGAUGAGAGUCUUUGGGGGUAUAUUUUUUGACAUAAAUAAAAAAACGAUAAUGAAAAUAUUCUUGGAGUACAAACAAAAUUUAAAUAAAUAAAUUAAAAAUGAUAAUGAAAAACUUGAAAGAAAUAAAAAACGAGAAUNNNNNNNNNNNNNNNNNNNNNNNNNNNNNNNNNNNNNNNNNNNNNNNNNNNNNNNNNNNNNNNNNNNNNNNNNNNNNNNNNNNNNNNNNNNNNNNNNNNNNNNNNNNNNNNNNNNNNNNNNNNNNNNNNNNNNNNNNNNNNNNNNNNNNNNNNNNNNNNNNNNNNNNNNNNNNNNNNNNNNNNNNNNNNNNNNNNNNNNNNNNNNNNNNNNNNNNNNNNNNNNNNNNNNNNNNNNNNNNNNNNNNNNNNNNNNNNNNNNNNNNNNNNNNNNNNNNNUUCUUCGUUUUCUUUUGUUUUUCCCUUGGUUUUCGGCAUCUUUUUGUUUAUUUUCUUUCGUUAUAUUUUUCCUUUCUUUUCAUUAGUAUUCUUCAGUUUUUUCUUUUUCGUUUUCUUUUUUGUUUCUUUUAGGUUUUCCUUGUAUUCCUCGGUGUCCUUUUUAUUUCUUUGUCGACUUUUAUCAGUUCCCCUUUUUUGACACAUGUUUACUUGUUGUGACAACAUAAUGUAUAUAUUUAGCGCAGACCUGAAAACCUUUGGGACGUGCUACACGUUCACCCGCUGAUAUUUCCAAAAGAUUGGUCAGGUCGCGAGUCAUUUUAUGGUGUGCCAUCGAGCUGCCUGGCUACGUUCUUCUUUUCAACACGGUUAAUGUUGUAGAAACCUUGUAACAAUAUUUUGACAUAGCUCUUGUUACAAAAACUUUUACAACAUACAUUAUGUUACAGAUUUUUUUUCAUCUUCAUUUUCUUUACAACAUAGAUGAUGUUAUGGAAAAACUUUUGCAGCAUAAGUGAUAUCUAUGUUGUAAAUAUCUUUGCAACAAAACUCAUUUUGCAGAAAACUAUUGCAACAUAGGUCAUGUUGCAUAUUUUCAUCUUCAUUUUUUGCAACAUAAGUGAUGCUACAUAAGAAACUUCUACAACAUAGCAGAAAUUUUUGCAAUGAAGAUUAUGCUGCAGAAACAUACCCGUGGUUGAUGACGCAUGUUUCAGCAGCACCGCCGUUGUUCGUCGUCGCAGUUUGCCAUUCGGUCAUCACAAUUGCAUCAUAGAGGCGGACGGUGAUGAUUGGGGACUGCAUGAAGGAGCUUAGUGGCGAUGUGCCAAGCUCGGGCGUUCUGUUGCAGCCAGCAUCCCUGCGCCGGCCAACGACCGUGGUGGAGGCGGGCAAUGGCCUGGCGAGCUACGACACUUCGCUGAGUGUAGGUGCCUUCUCCAUGAAUGCGUCCCUGGGCACCCAUGAUCAAAUGGAGAGACGACGAAAAGAGAUAAGAGAGAAAAGAGGAUCCAUAUCGAAUAAAAAACGUGCUCAUGCGAGACACGCAUCAUGCGUCAGAGGCGGCGGAUGCCUCGCAAUAGGCGGCACAUAGCCGCACCUGAAUAAUACCCAUCAAUAUUUUUUGUUGGUCACAGUAUAAUAGGAGAUCCCCGUGCAUACGAGCUCAAAUUGUCCACCCGAUUAUACAUUUACCAAAGUAGGAAGUGUAUAGUAACAACAUUACAUUACGUACAAACUAUCUGUUCGGAUGAAUUACUUUGCAUCGUUGAUGACAUAUAUUCACAUGAGGUAGCUACGUAGGGAGUGUUUGUUUACAGGGACUUCUUGGUAUAGUGACUAAAAAAGUUUUUUUAGUCCCAUCUAAGCCAAACAUGAGGGACUUUUAGGGACUAAAAGUGAGCAUUUGAGACUAAAGAAAGAAGUCUCUAAGAGAGAGUCUUUUUAGGACUUUUUCCAACAGUGCCCUUGCUUUUAGCAUGUCAUUUUAUAACCUCUAGUCCAUUAGUAAGGGUAACAUGGUCUUUUAGCAUGUCAUUUAAUAACCUUUAAACCAUAUUUAGUCCCUGGAACCAAACAGGUAGGGACUAGGGACUUUUUAGUUGAAACUAAAAAAAAUCCUAUGACUUUUUAAACAAACAAGGCCGUAGAUUACAGAGGCGUGCUUGCAGGAAGAAACCCGGCCCCGUGUUACACGUAGGUGCUCUCUUAGCCGGCGAGAGUGCUGGUGUUGUAGACGAGGAGGGCGUCGCCGCCGAGGAGGCCGACGAGGGUGAUGGCCCAGAUAAGAAGCCCAGUCGUUCCUGCAUGCGGAUAUUAGGGCCGAGGAUGAGCUUACUGUUUUUGUGAGAGAAUUUGAACGAAAUCACUUCUAAAUCAUCUUCUUUUUUCACGAAGGAAAAUCAUGCUUACAUUGAAGAUCCUUUGCAUGACGAGCCUUGCUAUAGCUGACAGGAAAACCAAUCAGAUCAGAUGCAGUUGCACGCAAACCCUAAUACUAAUAUUAAGACUUUGCUGCACAAUGGUUUGCAUCACCUGUGACACAUAUUCUGCAGUCACAUUGCGGUGCUCUGAAAGAGUGCCGGUUUGCUCACAACCAUGUUGCUCUAUUUUUGUGACAUGCCAUGGCUGACAUACCCAGGCUUCUGGCGAGCAAUAACUCUUCCGCGGCAACCCGCUUCGCGAUGGAUGCAUAUGAGCUUCAACUCCUUUUUAUCAGACUGCUUCACUCUAUGUUGCCUGUGUAUAGCAAUUGCAUAGCUAUGUAUUGCUUGUUUAGCAGAUUUCUUAUCUGGGAAAAUCUGUCCAACGGCCAGACUUCCCGCGUCUAGGCCAACAACAAAGUGAAAUUCAUUGGUGAUGCUCAUAACCUGUAAAAAUUCUGGGUUGAUUGCUGCAGCGACCGCCUUCUCAGGAGGAACAACUUCAUCAUCAUCUGAUUCCGAAGAGGCAGAAGAAUGACCAUCAUCGUCAUCAUCUAGCGCCUCCGGCAAUCCUUCGACAUGUUCGCUCAUGUCAACGACCGCAGACCAAUAUCCCAUGUCAUACACUUGUUGGCCACCUGUUGGUUCCGAUGGGCCGGCGUCGGGGGCUACAGUUAUGGCCAUAUGUUGGCCACCCCUUGGUUCCGACGGGCCAGCGUCGGGGGCUACAGUUAUGGCCAACUCGGCCUCACCGGCACCGCUACUGCACUCGGCGACAUCACUGGCAGAAAUGAACUCCACAUAAACCAUGGGUUGUCCAUACAUGGAGUUAUUGGGAUUGCUUCCAAAACCCAUGUACGACGCCCAUGCUCUUUACCAGUAACCCGCCGCAGAACCCAACGAUUUCCUCCCUCAACCACGAAAGCCUCCAUGGUCAUUUUUUUUCCAUUCAUCGCUGAACCAAACACCGCUCGGAUGCACCUUCUAACUGCCGCAUACUCUACAUUAACCAUGUCUUUCACUACAACCGUAGUCAUCCCGCACCUAGACACAUCCACACCAGAAGGACCCUCACGUACAAUGUGCCCAUAAAACACUAACAAAUUUUCCAUAGUACCUAACGAGCAGCCGUAUUUACAUAGGUAGUCCACUAAAAAUCAUAUUCUUAUAUUUAUCUUGUAAUAAUAUCCAUUACUUAUCUUUUUUUACAUAUAACAAUUUGAGAAAUAUUCACAAAUGACUAUACAUCUAUGCAUAAUAAUUUAUAUUGUAUCAUUUGUGGCGACACUACAUAUACAAAAUAAAUACAUCAUAAAUUAGAAUAUGUCAUUCAUACCUCUGGUUUGAUAAGGAUAUCCUUACGAAUACAAAAAUAUCCUUCCGAAUAUCACAAUUAACUUAUUACCAGUAUAAUAUCAGCGAAUUCGACCUAUUAUCAUAUGAACAAAAAUAUUACACACGCGUCUUGCAUAUAUAAUUACUACACAUAUUAUCACAUGAACAAAAAUGCAGUUCCUAAGGUUAUCACCAGUUAUCACAUGAACAAAAACGGAGUCGACAUAUUAUCACAUGAACAAAAAUGUUACACACAUUUUUUUUUACCUUCCUAAGGUUUCUAAAAUGCAGUUGCAUGGAUAAACAUAUCACUAUUAAUUUAUGAAAAUAAUCGACCUAUCAUCACAUGAACAAAAAUGCUAGUUGCAUGCGUGCGUCCUGCAUAUAUAUUUACUACACAAAUUGAUAAUUACAAUGUUAAUAAACAUAAAGUACAUACUUAAAAAACUAAUCAAAUAGACUAAAAUUUUCGUGCAUGCGAACAAAACCUAUGAAAAUGAAUUGAUUUUACCUUGAUCUAUCUUUCUUUCAACUGCAACAUAUUCGAAAUCCAACCCAAAAGACCAGAAAUCUUGAAUCAAAGUGAAGAAAGGAGUGUGUUCUUCAGCUACAGAGAAAAGAGAAGACAGUGAGAAUAACCCAAAAAAAACAUCAUGCAUGCAAACACAAUCAACAGAAAUGGAAAACUCUUACCUUGAUCUAUCUUUUACUCAACUAUGACGUCUUCAAAAUCCAAUUUAAACCGUCCUAAAUCGGCACUUAAAAUGUGUAUGACAUAGUUCUUGAGAGAAAGAGAAGACAGUGAGGAGGAGGAGCUGCUGUGUGUGCUGAAGCAAGAGAAAGGAGGCAACGGGAGAGUGAGAGAGGAGGCAGCGUCGGUAUAUAAAGAAGAUAAUGUGCACUGUUUUGUCGGUGAGAGUUAGCGCCGUUUGCAUGGCAAUGCCCACCAGCAGAAGACAACAACCUCGGAGUCAGCACAAUCAGCGUCGCUGUCGUAGCGCGCGGAGAUUCGGCCGGCCGCCUGGGGUGGUGGCGGCAGGGCCCACCCAGGCUCUGUCCGUUACGGCGCGGCGUGGCGGGAACGGUAUACGCAGCCGGCCGCCUCAGCUGGUGGCGGCAGGCCCCAGCCGCCUCGGGCGGUGGCGGCAUGUUCCCCAGCCGCCUCGGGCGGUGGCGGCANNNNNNNNNNNNNNNNNNNNNNNNNNNNNNNNNNNNNNNNNNNNNNNNNNNNNNNNNNNNNNNNNNNNNNNNNNNNNNNNNNNNNNNNNNNNNNNNNNNNNNNNNNNNNNNNNNNNNNNNNNNNNNNNNNNNNNNNNNNNNNNNNNCCCCCCCCCCCCCGGGGAGGGGGUCCUUUCCGUUUUUAUCGUUCACAGAUGGUCUUUUCUGACAAUGACGUUCGAGAGGGGGUUCUUUUGGACAAAAAUUCACCGAUUUGUACCUUUCCUCGCGCAUGGUCCAUGCACGGCACCGCGCAGUGUCUCGUGCCGUGCCUGGUUUCUACUUUCGCCUGAGUAAAUGAGCAUCGAAUUUUCUUUUUCCUGAGGGAAAAUUAGCAUCGAAUUGAAAGCUUUCCGGGUAUUAUGCAUACGGUAUAUUGCACACAAAAAAUGCAAUACUAUCUUGACAAGUAUCGCUUGCGGGCGGGCCACAAGAAUAUUUUGAUACGGCUAUCCAUAGCCCGAUUACAGGUGGGACCGAGGUGUUCCUCCAGGGGACGAUUUCACUUUUUUUAACCAUUUUACAUACUUUAGCCCGAUUUGAUCCCGUUUUGCGAUGUUUUUGGAUCUGGUCUUUUUUUUCCUACCGUCAUCCGCUGUGACGAUAGACAUACACAUCUUGCCGCCACAGACAAUGGCGGUAUGGUCGUUUGACUUCGCUGAUCCGAAGGAGUCAUCCGCAUUGACCUGACCCCUAUCGCCAUUGCCUGUGCUGGAAGGGUGUGUAUGACUACCGCCAUAGUCGGUGGCGGUAGAAGAAAGGGUUCGAUCCAAAAAAAAUCACAUACGACGCAAGGUCUGGCUAAAGUUAGUAAAAAGGGUCAAAAUCGUGAAUUUGUCCCCUCGAGGCGAGUUAGCACGCGGGGUCAACACGUGACGCCAUCGAUCCCUCAGACAUGCUCUGAUCGUUUUUUUGCCUAAACGUUGUCUAGCCAGUAGGCGCGAUCUGGCAUGGGCGAGCGACCAAACGUCAGCCAUCUCCUGCCACAUGCCUGACAAGAAAGGGAUAGUGAGCGUUGAUGAUUUUGUCCUUUUUUCUCGGUCCAAAAAAUUAGGGAUAACAAUCCUCUCACAUUUCCCUCUCUUCUCCUUUCACCCACCUUCUCAACGACAGGGACUGAAAUCCCUAGAUCAUCGGCGGCCGCGGCCGGCAACAACCCAAAUAGCGGCGACGAGGGAGCGCAUACUGGCGAGGCGAACCACCAACAGUUCGAUCGAGAGGGGGGCCACAUGACGAGUGAGGUCAAGGGAGGUACACGCGGAGGUGGACAAAAUCGGUGCCGAGAGGAAGAAGAGGGCGCGGCGGGCUGCUUCAUGCCGUCAGGGAGUGAUCCUAGGCACUUUGUGAGAGUGAAAGGUGAGCCAUAUAAUAAAAAAAGUAAUACACUUUUCUAACCAACCAUUGUACAUGUUAGCUAUAAGAUGGGCUAUAGAUGACAUGUCAAUGCCUUAUAGUCAGCAGCUGGCUAUACCAUUAACCAUGAUCUCAUGAGAUGCCACGCGUGUUGCGACGGCUAACGAGGUCCUUACCCGUGGCAUAAUGCUGGGAGCCAUAAACUCGCUAUCGUGGCACCAUUCAUGGACGACAGUGCAGGCCGGCGGGACAAAUGGAGAGUCGGGGAGCAGCCGAACACUAAUGUUGGCUAGGUGGCCAUUGGUGAAAGUUGAGCGAGUGAGAAGGGUACUGUCAUGGGUCGAUGACAAUGGUGUGUGAAAAGGAUGUGGAUGUCGCCUAGAGGGGGGGGGGUGAAUAGGCGCUUUAAAAUAGUUAAGGUUUAGGCUUGAACAAAUGCGGAAUAAAACUAACGUUUAAUAUGUCAAGCACAAAACCUACAAACAACUAGGCUCACCUAUGUGCACCAACAACUUAUGCUAAGCAAGAUAAACAACUAAGUGAUAGCAAGAUAUAUUACAAUAAACAAUAUGUCUAUCACAAAGUAAAGUGCAUAAGUAAAGGGUUCGGGUAAGAGAUAACCGAGGCACGGGGAGACGAUGAUGUAUCCCGAAGUUCACACCCUUGCGGAUGCUAAUCUCCGUUAGAGCGGUGUGGAGGCACAAUGCUCCCCAAGAUGCCACUAAGGCCACCGUAAUAUCCUCACGCCCUCGCACAAUGCAAGAUGCCGUGAUUCCACUAAGGGACCCUUGAGGGCGGUCACCGAACCCGUACAAAUGGCAACCCUUGGGGGCGGUCACCGAACCCGUACACGUGGCAACCCUUGGGGGCGGUUACCGGUACCCGUACAAAUUGCUCAGGGCAAUCUCCACAACCUAAUUGGAGACCCCGACGCUUCCCGAAGCUUCACACCACAAUGAUUGAGCUCCGAGACACCACCAAGCUUCUAGGACGCCAAAGCAUCCACGAAGAACAAUAUCAAGGGUACUAAGUACCAAAGGUAGUAAGCUUCUCAACUUCUCACUUCCACGUAUCACCGUGGAGAACUCAAACCGAUGCAACUAAUGUAAUGGCAAGAACACACGAAAUGGUCAAGUCCCUCACACUCAAAUCCCUCCACAACAACAAAAGCUAUGGAGAAAUAUGAGAGGAAGACCAAGGAGCUCACAAAGAACUCCAAGAUCAAGAUCCAAGGGGUUCCCCUCACAUAGAGGAGAAAGUGAUUGGUGGAGAUGUGGAUCUAGAUCUCCUCUCUCUUUUCCCUCAAGAACAAGCAAGAAUCAUUGGAGGGAUUGAGAGUAAGCAAGCUCUAAGAAUGUCAACAAUGGAGGUAGAACAAGAGCUCAACCGAUGGAUAAAACCAAGGGGGAAGAAGACCCCCUUUAUAUAGUGGGGGAAGGAAUCAGACCGUUACCCCCACUUUCUGCCCGAGCUCGAGCGGUACUACCGCUGGCUGCAGCGGUACUACCGCCAGCUAGCGGUACUACCGCCAGCUAGCGGUACUACCGCUAGCUGCAGCGGUACUACCGUUGGCACUCCAGCGGUACUACCGCUGGCCCCAGCGGUACUACCGCUGGGCCCAUGGUAGUGCAACGGCACUACCACCACCAAGAAAGUCUUCACAAAAAGGUCCGUCCACGAACAACCGCUAGGCAGGCGGUACUAAGCUCCUGGAGCGGUACUACCGCUGACCAGGGGCGGCACUACUGCCAGUCAGUGGUACUACCGCUAGGGCCAGCGGUACUACCGCCAACUCCAGCGGUAGUACCGCUAGGUCCAGCGGUACUACCGCUCGCCACUGAAACAGCCAUAACUUUCGCAUACGAGCUCCGAAUCGAGCAAACCCAAGCUUGUUGGAUUCAGGACGACAAGGGCUAUCCAAAAGAUGUGAGACCAUGCGGUUAUGAAUAUGCCAAAUAUCUAGAGAUGUGAGAUCUCUAUGAAUGAAGAACCGGCAAAAACUCCAACAUCGAAAACAUCAUAGUAGAUGCAUAUGGACUCCGUUUUCUAUGAACUCGAGCUUGUCACGAAGAUGACCAUAAGCUCUAAAAGUCACAAAGAGAAACACCAAACAAGAACCAAGAAGUAUGAUGCAAGGAUGCAAAUGGUUUGAGCUCUCAACGAACGAUAUGUAACGACCAAGAUGCGGUCCUUUCCGAUCUGGGGGUCGAGGCCCCCGGUUAGGAAAGAAGCGCAUCUAAGUGUUUUGCAAGCAAGUAAACAUAGCACAUAAUAAUAAAUAAAGUAGACAAUCUGGGAUUCAACUGUCUUCUUAUUAAAAUACAGAGUACAACGCAGAUACAAACAAGGUAGUUCCGGUACGGACUACAAAACAAGGAAAAUGCUAUGCUACCCGCUGCAGGCCCACAAUCACGACCACGGCUCAGUCCUCUGGAUAGUUCACGUAGAGGCGAUUUGUCUCCUCGUCGUACUGCCACGCCAACUGGGUGCCGUCGGGAUCAUCUGCCUCUGGGGUACCUGUACCUGCUGGGAGUUUCGGAGGGAUCCGUGAGUCACGGGGACUCAGCAAUCUAAGACCUUGGUGCCACAACUAAUCAUGUUAUUGGGUAAGGAAGGGGUGAAGUGUUUCAGGCUGCUGCAUCCUAAGGUUGAAUAAGUGGCUAGCUUACGCAAGAGAAGAAGUGACAGUGUUCUAUACUACCGGUCGUGAAUCCUUGAUCAGAAAGUGAUCCUGAACACCUACCUACGGCAUUCAUAACCCCACCAUGUUCCCGGUCGAAGAGAGAUCUUCGAAGGGACAGUCACGGUUACUCACACAGUUGGCAUAUUUUAUUAGUUUAUGUUUAAGUUUUCUAAUACCGGAUGUUAACAAAAUAUUCCAAGUUGCCACAUAACCGCGGGCACGGCUUUCCGAAAGAUUAAACCCUGCAGGGGUGCUCCAACUAGUCCAUCACAAACGAACACAGGCCGCAAAGGCAUCCUCUAUCACGAAUCUCGUGAUCUCGUCGGAUUCCUUAGAGGAAAACCUCAACUCUGGGGAAAAACAAAGCCUCAUCGGAAUUCCUAUACGCAAGAUAUACCGCUAAGGUAAGACAAGGCUAGCAGGACCUCCCGGUGUGUCGACGACCCGAUAAGAGCCACGUAUCUCCGUCUCAGGACAACACCGUCUAUGCAAAGUGGACAAGGACCAAACCUCAAGUUACCCCGGGGUGGUCUUGCCGACUGCUAGGUGGUUGGACCAACACUCAUGAGGAGCACUGGCCCGGGUUGUUGAUUAGGAUCCUCGGGGUAGCUAUUCCCUAUGCAGAUUAUUAUUAGGUCAUUAGCAGAUAGUACCAAAGUUGGGUCCUGCCGGACAAGCCUUGACACUACGCGAUUUAUCAAGGGGGUUCCCAUAACAACCCCGAACGUGUUAGGAGCGAACAUUAUGGAAUCAAACACCGGUAACCGGUAACUAAGGCGGCAAUGACGGAACAAGACACCCGGCAAAAGGCUAGGCCUCCCGUCAUCUACCAAGUAUAUAGGUACAUUAAUUUAAAUACAGGAAUUAAGAUACUGAUAUGAAGCUCAUGACAACUCAUGAGUUAUAAUCACCUGCAACUAACAACGCUAACAUUAGUAGCUGAGCAAUGCCUACCUAGCCAUGCAAAUUUGCUAGGACAGGGUAAGGUGUUUAGGCUCAUGGCAUAGGAAGAGGCGAUAUGUUUUCAGUGGUAGGCAGCGAGCAAUAACGUGGAAUCGAAACUAACAGAACAAGUCUAGAUAUGGGAUCAAGGUCUUGUCAUCUUGCCUGUGAUAUCCUCAGCUUGGAAUGUUUCUGGAUCGUCCUGCACGUACUCUCCUGACUCCACGUAAUCGGUCUCCGCUCCCGGUGCUACCCAACACAAGAAUAACAGCCAAUGAACAGCAGCACCACAAAAUGCAACAAUCACAUGAUGCAUGAGAUGAAAGUUGAGCAUGCACCACUAUUUCUAACACUAGCACCAGCAAGAUAAACUACCACAAGUUCCUGGACAGAACUUUGCACUAAAUUAGUUGGACAUGCCUGGGAAUGAAAUGAACAGAUGCAUCUCGUAAAAACGGUGCAAAACCACAUAAAGAACUUUGCAAACGGAGCUACGGAUCAACGGGAAUCAACGAAACACGAUAUGAAGCCCUACGUGAAAGAUUCAUCACCACCCACACAAUUGGCACAAAUCUGGUGUUCCCAGGUUGCCAAGACAUAUAUUAACCCAACAUGAAUGAAAUGGAGCAAGGUAGAACACCCCAACAACAAUUAAGCACAAACUUUGAACAAAAUGUCAAAACUACGCAAUCUGCCAGUUUCUGCAUCUUAGCUGUUUGUGAGCAACAUGCAACAUAGCUACAGGUCUUCAAAUAUGACAAAUAAUAUAUGUGGCUGUUGCCAACCAAGUACACUACAAUCUCCAGCAAGAAUCACAGCAAAAGGAAUUAAACUCUAGAAGAUACAAGGCCACAAACUUUCCCAAAACCAUCAGUUCUCAGGGACUUCGUGAAAAUUCCUGCACCUGAGUUUCUGUUUCUGUUCUGAAGCUUUUUGACAGCAAUCAAAACACAAGCUACUGGACUCCAAAUGACUUGAAAAUUUACAGGAAGCUUCACAACCAUACCAGGUUCAAAACACCAGCACUGAACUAAGUCCAGUUCUUAACAGAAUGACCAGCACAACCUUAUCUACAGGGGAAGAAAAUGUUCUCAGCAUUCCAGACUUAGUGAAAUUUCCAGAGUUCAAAAAUCUGGAAUUUUCCAGCCACAUGCCCACNNNNNNNNNNNNNNNNNNNNNNNNNNNNNNNNNNNNNNNNNNNNNNNNNNNNNNNNNNNNNNNNNNNNNNNNNNNNNNNNNNNNNNNNNNNNNNNNNNNNNNNNNNNNNNNNNNNNNNNNNNNNNNNNNNNNNNNNNNNNNNNNNNNNNNNNNNNNNNNNNNNNAGGUGUUUGACACCACUAUGGUGUUGAGCACAAACCCCUACAACUAGCACACCAAGACCCAUGCCUUUGGGCUCCAUCUAUAUCAUGGAAACAAAGCCCAAACUUUCAACAAUAACGAAAAUGCAAAACCACAAGGUAUGCUUUUUAAGAUGACAAUUACCUAGGAGAGUUUCAUGUGCACAAUGACAAAGUGACAUGGGGGUUUGAACCCCAUGUUUGUGUCAUGCACAUCAACAACUCCAACACACACAAUUUCUCACAAGCACUAGCAUCAAACUCACACCGAAGACACUUUAAACUAACAAGAGGGUGAGCACACCCCCACAUAUGGGCAUGUGAUGGUGCACACUCGCACAAGCAUCACUAGGAUCUUUCUAGUAAUCAUGUCAUCCUCUAUAUGCAACCUCCACAACAUCCACACCUUCACACGCUAGCGUGGAUAGACACCUAGAUCUUCACAUCACACCAAUACAUGUGGUGGAGUGGAAGAUCCCACACCCCACUAAAUCUAUGCAAACAAAUAAAAACUAGCAGUUCAACUUAUACCACCUAAAACUCCCAAAGAUGGGCUCCACAAGAGUAGCUAGUGCAUCUUCUCCUUAAGGCACAACACACACAAUUAAAAACACAUCACAAGAACCACUCCCACCAAGUGUUUUUCCUCACCACUAGAGGUAACCCACCAAGGCUUACCAAGCUAGCAAUACCACCUCUACCCUCUUGUAGGCACACAACACACACACAUAGGGUCCUGUUCCCAACUACACUAGCAAGGAAUAAGAUGAUAAGACCAUCUUGCUGCCCAACACAAGGGAGGGAAAGUACAAAAACAAACAAAUAACAUAAAUAGGCAGCAAAGAAAAAAAUAGCAAAAACCCAUGCCAGGGUUCCUGGGAUUCGAUCCCUGUACCUACUGGUUUACCAGUCACCAACACGCCACUGCACCAGCUGCGCUACUGGCGACAGGAACACAACAGGAAACGAAAUAACUCCCCUUCCUGGCUACCGAAUAGGAAAAGAAACUAAAAUUAUGCAGAGAGGGGGGUUCGAACCCUGGAUCUCCCAUCAGGCGCACGCAUAUGACAGAGAGGUACUACCAUCAGGCUACGAACUGGAGUCUGGCUAAGACUAGCAAGUAAAGCAGAAAUACACGCAUCUCACGAGAAGCAUCCCGCCGGCGGCCGGACCCGAGGACGCUGGCGGCGCCACUCCCGGCCACCACCGGCAGGGGAAACCGUCGGCGGGGCCCGCGGGACUCCCGGGGGAUCCAUUUUCGCCCUGAGCACGGGAGAAGGUGCCUCCUUGGCUGCCUUGAACUGCAACUGCCGGAACCCUGCCCGUCUGGGAGCAUGCGGCAGAGAACCUGACGGGCCUCCCUGCCGGCGCUGCCGAACUGCGCUACCGACGACCAGAGGGUCCUCUGGGCACGGCGCUGCUGCCGAGAGGGGGGAGGAAGCCCUCCUCCUGCUUCCGCUAUGCUACUCGCGAGCUGAACUAACAGAAACCACUAGCGCUGCAGACCUGGGGUACCAACGGGCAGAGGCCUCCGUCAGAGAAGGGGGCGCACGCCCUGCCGGCGCGGCGGAUCCUCGCGCUGGGAGGAGGAGCUGCUGCUGCUACUGCUAACCCUACCAUCCCGCAGCAAGGCGACACCAUCUCACCUCUUACCCUGCGCCCGCUAUCUAGACGACCCACCGCAGCAGAGAAGGAACGAAGCUUCUACUGCAGAACAUGACCGAACCGCGGAGGAGGAGGCAAGGGCGGAGAACCUCACCUUGGGGAGAAGAGGGGCGUGGAACGGGGAGGAGGAGCGCCGGAGAGGAAGAAGACGUGCCAACGAAGUCGUUCCGUCGAAGACCGAAGAAGAGGACGGACGCAGCUCGCCCGGUUCGUCCCGUUGACGAGGACGAGCUCGACGGGGGGGGGNNNNNNNNNNNNNNNNNNNNNNNNNNNNNNNNNNNNNNNNNNNNNNNNNNNNNNNNNNNNNNNNNNNNNNNNNNNNNNNNNNNNNNNNNNNNNNNNNNNNNNNNNNNNNNNNNNNNNNNGGGGGGGGGCGCUCCUCGGGGUCCUAGCGCCGGGAAUGGGUCGCGGGGACUCACCCCGAGCCCCCGGACAUGGCGCCCAGUGCCGGAGACGACGGAUCGGCGGGUUGACGGAGGAGGCGCUGCACCCUCACUCUCUCUGCUUUCUCUCAGAAACUUACCAGGGAAGAACGAGGGCAGGAGGGAAGCUGGCGGCGCUGGGGAGGAAAGGAGAGGGAACCCUAGGGCGGAGGAGGAGGUCUCGGGCUCCUUUUAACGCCUCGGGAGGCGAGCUCGAGCCGCUGGAUCAAGAAGAGAGGGAUCGGGAGGUUGAGCGCGCGUCGUACAGGAGGUGACGUCGGGAGGAAGAAGGAGCGCUCGCCAGUGGGCUCUGUCGCCAGGGGGGGAAAUCCUACUGGGCCGCACGGGAGAAGGCUUAACGGGCCAGGGAAAGAAUCAGAUGCACAGGAAGUUUAACCAAAUAGAACAACAGAGAAAAGAAUGCUUCCAGGGAAGAAAAAAUAUUACCCAAGGAAAUUACUGGGUUAAAAACUAAAAGGAAAAUCCUGCUAGACAUAAGAAAUAAUAGCCCAAUAGGGAAAAAUAGGAAUGCAAUAUUUGGAGAUGUUUGAAAUAAAUGCAAAACAGUAAUUAACCUACUGUUUUGAAUUUAUUUGCACCACUAAAGUCAAGGAAUCAGACCAGAAAAAUUGCACCCCCUCGCAAGCACAUUUUAUCAACCCACUAGACAUUUUAGAAUCCUCUUUGGGACGAAGGAAUUUUGACAAGAAUAAAAAUAGGAGGGAAAAGGAGUUUAAAAGGCAAUAGCUUUAAAAGAGUAGCACACCCUCUUGCAUCACACACACCGUUAUCACAUGCAUCACAAGGUAGUGCAAAAACACCACUUAAUCCUAGCAAGAUCACAUGCACUCACAACAUCACAACACUACUCCUAUUAAACUCAAUGCAACAUGAUCAUGGCAUGCAAUCAUAAAUAUGGCAAGGGAUCAUAUGUAAUUCAUGCAUGCAAGGGAAGUAAGCACUAGGGAACACACAUGAAUUCAAGGCACAAAAGAUAUCCUCAAGAUCUCUGACAAGGUGGCCCUACAUGGAAGGUUACAAGAAGGGAAAGUUCUACACUUGGGGCAUUACAAACUCUCCCACACUACAAAGAAGAUCUCGACCCCGAGAUCUAAGACUGAAAGAAAUCGGGAAAUUCGGAACGGAGGUGAUCCUCGCGUUCCCACGUAGCCUCUUUAUCGGAAUGGUGUGACCAUUGCACUUUGAGAAACUUGACAGACUUGUUACGGGUCUUGCGCUCAGUUGCCUCGAGAACCGCAACUGGAUGCUCGCGAUAAGAGAGGUCAGGCUGGAGAUCGAUAUCAUGAAGAUGCACGGUGCGCUCGGGGUUCUUGAAACACCUCCGAAGCUGAGAGACAUGGAACACAUCAUGGACAUUUGCAAAGGUUGACGGAAGCUCGAGCUGGUACGCGAGGUCACCCCUCUUGCCAACCACUCUGAACGGACCAACGAAGCGAGGCGCAAGCUUGCCUUUGAUGCCAAAACGCUGCAUACCCUUCAUAGGCGAAACCCUGAGAUAGACAAAAUCAUCAAGCUCAUACGACAUGUCACGGUGCUUGCUAUCAUAAUAGCUCUUCUGACGGGACUGAGCUGCUCUGAGGUUGUCGCGAAUGAUCUGACACAUCUCCUCAGCUUCUUCUAUCAUAUCAUUGCCAAGGAUCUGACGCUCGCCUGUCUGGGACCAGUUGAGCGGAGUACGACACUUCCUGCCAUAGAGAAUCUCGAACGGAGCCUUGCCGGAGCUAGCUUGAUAACUGUUGUUAUACGAGAACUCCGCGAAAGGCAGACAAUCCUCCCACUUCAUGCCAAACGAGAUAACGCAGGCUCUCAGCAUGUCCUCAAGAACUUGAUUCACUCUCUCCACUUGACCACUAGUCUGAGGAUGGAACGCUGUGCUGAAGCGGAUCUUCGUGCCCAUAGCAGACUGAAACGAGUCCCAGAACUUGGAAGUGAAGAUACUCCCGCCAUCUGAUGAUAUCAUCAUAGGUACACCGUGCAACGAGACAACCCUCGAGGUGUACAACUCUGCCAGCUGAGCUGCUGAAAUGGACUCCUUGACUGGAAGGAAAUGCGCCACUUUACUCAAUUUGUCGAUGACGACGAAGAUAGCGUCAUUGCCCUUCUUGGACUUCGGAAAUCCUGUGACGAAGUCCAUCUCAAUGUGAUCGAACUUCCACUCGGGAAUCGGCAAAGGCUGCAAGAGGCCCGCUGGUCUUUGAUGUUCUGCUUUCACCCUUCGACAAACAUCACACUCAUUGACGAAUUGUGCAAUUUCACGCUUCAUACGGGUCCACCAGAACGACUGCUUCAAGUCAUGGUACAUCUUGGAACUUCCCGGAUGAAUAGAAAGCAGAGAAUUAUGAGCUUCUUCCAUGAUCACCUUCCUGAGAUCACCUUUCGGGACGACAAGGCGGUCCUCGAAAAACAAAGUGUCCCUGGCAUCCACAGUGAAACACUUAUACUUGGGAAGACUCUUUCCCACACCAAUCUUGACCUUCUUCACCAUAGUAUCAAGUAGCUGAGCUGCUCUGACCUGAUCUUCCAAGGUAGGAGAGAUCUGAAGGUUCGCAAGAAAACCCUGAGGAACCAGCUGAAGAUUGAGCUUCCUGAAAGACUCAGAAAGACCCGGCUGGAGAGGUUGCAGAAUCAGACCGUUGCAAUAUGCCUUCCUGCUCAAUGCAUCUGCCACAACAUUUGCCUUGCCUGGUGUAUACUCAACACUCGGAUUAAAAUCCUGGAGCAUUUCCACCCAACGUGUUUGCCGAAGAUUCAAGUUAGGCUGAGUGAAGAUAUACUUGAGGCUCUUGUGAUCGGUGAACACUUCAACCUUACGUUCCAACAAGAGAUGUCUCCAAGUCAUCAAGGCAUGCACCACAGCUGCUAGCUCGAGAUCGUGCACAGGAUAGUUCUUCUCCGCAGGCUUCAGCUGCCUGGAGGUAUAAGCAACCACCUUCCUAUCUUGCAUCAAGACUGCACCAAAACCCUGAAGAGAAGCAUCGCAAAUUACCUGGUACGGCUUGGAAUCAUCCGGAGGCGCCAAUACCGGAGUGGAGGUAAGCUUAUCCUUGAGUGUAUCAAAAGCCAGUUGACACUCUGGAGACCACACAUACUUGACACCCUUCUGAAGAAGACUAGAGAGCGGCUUGGCGAUUUUGGAGAAGUUCUCAACGAAUCUUCUGCAAUAUCCGGCAAGACCGAGAAAGCUUCGAAGCUGCUUCACAUUCUACGGAGGUUCCCAUUCAACAAUGGCCUGAACCUUGGACGGAUCAACCUUAAUGCCCUCGGCAGAGAUAAUAUGCCCAAGAUACACCACUUCUUUCAGCCAGAACUCGCACUUGGAAAACUUGGCAUAAAGCUUGUAUUCUCGCAGUUUAUCAAGCACCAACCUGAGAUGUUUCUCAUGUUCUUCCUCAUCCUCAGAAAAGACCAGAAUGUCAUCGAGAUAAAGCAAGACAAACUCAUUCUUGAAUGGCGAGAAAAUAUAGUUCAUCAAUCGGCAAAAAGUCGGAGGAGCAUUAGCCAGACCAAAAGACAUGACCGUAUACUCAUAAGAGCCAAAACUGGUCCUGAAUGCCGUCUUUGGAAUGUCUUCCUCACGAAUGCGAAUCUGAUGAUAGCCCAUUCUGAGAUCAAGCUUGGAGAAUACUUUAGCACCUUUCAGCUGCUCGAACAACUCAUUUAUGUUCGGAAGCGGAUAUUUGUUCUUGAUUGUCUUCUUAUUCAAUGGGCGGUAAUCGACACACAGUCGUUCCGUACCAUCCUUCUUCUUGACAAACAGAACACCACAUCCCCACGGAGACGAGCUUGGUCUGAUCAAACCCAAACGCUCCUGCUCAUCGAGUUGUCUCUUGAGCUCCUUCAACUCUUCUGGACCCAGCUUGUACGGCCGCUUGCACACUGGCUCUGUGCCUGGCUCAAGCUCUAUGACGAACUCCACUUCACGGUGCGGAGGCAUCCCUGGCAACUCUUCAGGAAACACGUCCUGAUAUUCACAGACUACUGGGACUUGCUCAAUGGGAUUGAUCUCACCCUUUUCAUUCAAGGAGAACAAGCGGACUGUGUCAUCGCGCGCCGCGAAUAUAAUCACAUCCUCCGAAGAGUGGGUCAGCUUCACUUCUUUAGCUGCGCAAUCAAUUGAUGUCUUAUUCAUGGCCAACCAGUCCAUACCAAGGAUCAAAUCAAUGUCGGACUUGCCCAAGACAAUAUGAGACGCCAGAAAAGCAUAAUUGUCCAUCUUGACAAAAACGUUCGGAACCAUCAUGUGAGAAUUCAUGAUCUUACCCGGAGACACAAUUGAAAGAGGCUUAAUCAAAUCACGAGUAGGGAACCCAUGCUUAAAUGAGAAUGGCCUUGAGAUAAACGAAUGUGAUGCACCAGAAUCAAACAAGACUUCCGCAGGAAAAUCAUUGACUAAGAGAUUACCCAUGAUCACAUCCGAAGAAUAUUCUGCCUCAGCUGCAUUCACCAUGUUGACUCGAGCUGAUCUGGGGUUGAACUUCACAAGAGCGUUGCUAGGAGGUUUGCCUGGAGGAGGAGGCGGCAGACGGAGCUGAGAAGUGCAUUUGUUGGCAUAGUGACCCUUCUGCCCACAUUUGUGACAAGUGACCUCUGCUGGCUGCCGGAACUGAAUCUGAGGAGGCCCUUGCUUCUGCUGCUGAUAUCUCUGCUGGAAUCCAGGGUUGGGUGGGCGGGAAGAACCACGUCCACCUGAGUGCUUCGGCUGCUGAGAGUGCCGAGGAGGAGGAGNNNNNNNNNNNNNNNNNNNNNNNNNNNNNNNNNNNNNNNNNNNNNNNNNNNNNNNNNNNNNNNNNNNNNNNNNNNNNNNNNNNNNNNNNNNNNNNNNNNNNNNAGGAGGAGGAGGAGAAACCCAAAACCUCUGUUGCUUCUGAACCACCUGAGUCGAGGAAGAGCUGGAAUCUCUGAAACGUUUCUUGGAGUUCUCCACCCUGAGCAAGGCUGCCUCUGCUCUGAGAGCUAAGUUAUAGAAUUUGUCAAACUCCUCAGGAUCGUGCAAAGCGAGUGCUAACUGCAAAUCCUCCUUCAAGCCACCCCUGAACUGGUAUAUCUUGCUCUUCUGAUCCGGAACAUCCUGCAAUGCGUAACGGGCCAGCUCGUGGAACUCAACAUUAUACUUGUACACAGAAUUGCUGCCCUGCUUCAAGCGCCUGAACUUCUCACGCAUCUCCUCAACAAAACUGGAAGGAAUGUAGUGGGAUCUGAAGUCACGACAAAACUCGUCCCAAGACAUCGCCCUGCCACCUCUGGAAUCCUUAAGCUGCUGCCACCAAAUAGAAGCCUGCCCCUUCAACUGGAAUGUUGCAAACUUGACAUAAUCCUCUGGACGGACAUUGCUACACUCGAAAUGCUUGUUCAUAUCAUGGAUCCAAUCUUCCGCGUCAAACGGCUGGUCGCAAGAAGUGAACGUCCUAGGCUGGUUUGACAGGAACUGACUCAGGCUGGCGAAGUGAUUGCCACCCUGCUGGAAAUUGCCUUGCUGAUGAUUGGCUCUCUCCUGGAUCAACUGCAACAGCAUCUGAGUAUUUGCAUUGGUAGCUGCCAUCAUCGCCUGCCAGGCCUCUGCAGGAGGAGGCGGCGGCGGUGGCGGAGGAGGAGGUGGAGGCGGCAUAUCCUCACGCGCUGGGGUCUGACGAGUUGGUGGAGCCAUCCUGAAGACGGACAACAUAUUAGUCCACAGAAUAUUUGACGAUAAGCUGAAUCAAAAGACAGAAUAUCUGAAUAGAACUUAGCAUUGCACUCGAACAACAUAGCAAGAGUGCAUUCUCAAAGUAACAGACGACAAAAUUCCGAUAAGGGGCCACAACAAACAAGUGUGAGCUAGAACUGCUCGGAACAAACAUAUGAUCGGGAUUUCCCAAACCUCAAUCAAGCGUCUGUAGGAAGAUAGUCCUAUAAGAUACUACCUGAUAUCCCACCUAUGAAUUCCCGAAAUAACUGGUCAUGUAAUCAGGCACACGGAUACAAGGAGUAAUUCACACAACUCCUAAUCUAAACCAUCACCUGUAUCACAUCCUUCAACACACAACCAGCAUCUCGGACCUUCGUCUACAACAGAUCCUCGUGAUCACAACGAUACAAAGUGUGGUAGUACCCCCGAACAAUCUACACCAGUACUGGGGACGUCGGGGUUAUCUCACCACUACCCGUAUUGAAGCAACAACGAAGACCCUCCGUUCUUAGGUACUCAGAAAUCUGAAUGAUGGCGAUGUGCGCGACAAUCCCUGGAGCUCAACUCCCCUGAUACUUAGAGCAGAUAGGAGGCACCAGGACACGAUUCCGUCACAUCGAAAUCAUAUAGAUUUCGCAAACACCCGCGUGAUCCUAAAAAAAAUAAAAUUUUGAGCGAGAAAAAGGAGUAGAGUUAAAGAUUUCCUAAGACGGAAGCCUCACCAGAGCAAAGAAGAGGAGAAAAAUGAAACCUACUCUCCGAUAUAACUAAGACUCAAAACAUUUACUAGACUCGACUCGGCCAAAUACGAUCACACAAAGGCUCCUAUGGUCGUAAGGCUCUGAUUACCAACUUGUAACGACCAAGAUGNNNNNNNNNNNNNNNNNNNNNNNNNNNNNNNNNNNNNNNNNNNNNNNNNNNNNNNNNNNNNNNNNNNNNNNNNNNNNNNNNNNNNNNNNNNNNNNNNNNNAUUUUAUUUGUGUCUAGAGUUGUGUUGUGAUAUCCUCCCGUGAGUCCUUGGGUUUGAUCGUACGCAUUUGCGUGUUUGGUUAGCGUACGAUUAAGCCGAGGGCGUCAAAGAAUGCCGAUCAUCAUCAUGUCGGGGCUCGUAAGGCCCACCCUGCGGAGGGGUGCGUGAACGGUGAUGAUCUUCGGGAUUCAUGGAACGGCUGCCUCCUCUGCAUCGCUGAUGAGAAUCGGGACUGAAAACCGACCGAUGCGUGUUCACGUGAACAGAACUGUUGUGGAUCCUGUUGUGCGACUGGGAGACUGCCAAAUUCUGCUGCUGCGCCGUGUGCAACAGGGCACGGAUCUGCUCGGUCCCUCUACCAGCCUGUGAAUCAGUCGGUUGGAGGGAAUCGGGUAUCUUGGCAGCGGCAGCCAGGUUAAGGACGGGUGUGCGGAACACCUCCACGUUGCUCUGACGAGUGCGUCGACUGGCAGAACGGUGGGGUUGAUGGCGAGCACCGGAUGACUCGCCGACCUCGUGCUCGUUCUGGCCAGUCCGGCGGGGGCUUUCAUGGGAAUUGGCCAUGAGAACUUUGGCUGCAGGCCCGCGACCCAAGUACUCGGAAGGUAACUCAGUCGGAACUGAGUCCAACCACUGGGACGGCGGCGAGACCACAACCGACUCGAGGACCGCCACUUGAGAGGACGCGUUCUGGCGCGCCUGGGCGUGUCGCACCCAACGCUGGAACUGCGGACGGCGGGACCGCUUGUUGCGGCGCGUGACAGGGGCGAAGAUCGACACCGGAGCCGAUUGCUGGAGAAGAAGGACGCCGCGGGCGCCUGCACGGAAGUGCGUAGCCCCGCGACUGGGGAGCGCCUCGACGUCGAGAGGCGCAUCCCGAAGCCAUGCCGAAUCGUCGACGAUGAAAGAGAGUGCACCGAAGAGGAUCUCACGACCCAUGCACAAAUCUCCACCGGACGACAUGAUGAAAAGAUGAAGUUGCAAACUCGCCGGAAGUCGCUUAGACGCAUGCACCAAGGUGGGCGCCAACUGUCGUGGGUAUAAGUCUGAAAGUAGAUGUAUAGGGUACGAAAGGAUGGGCAGAGCCUUAGCUACGGCGAGGUUGUAUGAGUUCAGGCCCCUCAAUGGUGGAGUUAAAAGCCCGACGUCUCAGUGCUCUUGGGAGCUUAGUGUCGAGUGGAAUAUAGGGUUACAGUAAAUGCCAACCCCUGCACCAGUGGGGAAGGGCAGCUUAUAUAGAGUGCGCUGCCCUUCACAACGGCCCGGUGGACAGGGGUGGAGUAGUGGUGAAUAAAUGCCUACGUUACAGGUAACGUAUGCCUUAAAUGCUAAUAAUGGUGUAUGAAAACGUAUGACCGUUGCCCUCCAGGGAGGUUACGAUGUACAGAGUGGAAUCCAGUCGGUACGUUUAAUACGCUCUGAAUGCUCGUCACCGACUGGAUGAUGGGGGAGUCGUCACCGACUGGAUGAUGGGAGGUCCUUAGUUCAGUCGGAACUGUCUAAGGGCCUUGCCCUUUAUGAAGGGUAGUCCUUGGGUAGGACCUAUAGGGCAGGCCUAUGACCCUACCCUGGGGCUAUAACCCCAUCACUGCAGAUACUAAGUCUUUCGGGUGUGGUUGAAUUGACAACUCAACUGCUAAUACUCGAGAAUAUUCUUUGGCUUCCCCUUGUGUCAAAUCAACAAAUUUGGGUUGAAUACUCUACCCUCGAAAACUAUUGUGAUCCCCUAUACUUGUGGGUUAUCGAGACUAUUUUCUGGCGCUGUUGCCAGAGACGCAUAGCACUAUUCUAUGAGUCACUUGGGAUAUACGUCUGCUGAUCACUAUGAGGAAUCCGAGAGAUCCAAAAACUAAGGUCUUGCCCUCAACUACGAGGACAGGUAAGGAACUGCCAUCUAGCUCUGCAUUUGAUUCACCUUCAAUUAUGAGUAAGUUUGCGACACCACCUCCUGCUAGAAAUUUUGAUAUGUCGCAUGUGCUUGAUGAUGCUACUUCUGCUAUCCAUGAUGCUUGUGAUGAUGCUUUGCUUGAUACUGCUUUGCCACUAGGUGCAUUCCUUGAUGCACAAAUUGCUAGAGUUGCUGUUGAAUGUCAUGAUACUUCUGAGACUGCUGAAAUUAUUGAAGUAAAACCUGCUAUUUCACCUGUUAGAACUAGCUCUCCUAGAUAUGAAUUUCCUGAUAUAUGUGAGGGUUAUGUUAUGGAGGGAGAGAUAGCUGAGGACUUUCUUGCUUAUAAGGAUAGCUAUGAUGUUGAGAAUUUACUGCGCAAGUGGAAACAAAAAUCUCUGAACGCUAGGAUGAAAUACGACCUGAAGUUUGCUACUUGGCCUAUCUUUGUGACCGAUAAGGAUUAUGAAUUCUCUGUCGAUCCUGAGUUAAUCACUAUGGUCGAAUCUGAUCCUUUUCAUGGUUAUGAGUCUGAAACGGUUGUAGCACAUCUUACCAAACUGCACGAUAUAGCCACCCUAUUCAGGAGUGAGGAAAAUAUCCGCCACUACUAUAUCCUUAAGUUGUUUCCUUUCACGCUAAAGGAUGAUGCUAAGACUUGGUUCACUUCUCUUUCUCCUGGUUGUGUGUGUAGUCCCUAGGAUAUGAUCUACUACUUCUCUGAGAAAUAUUUUCCUGCCCAUAAGAAACAAGUUGCCUUGUAGGAAAUAUAUAACUUUGUGCAAGUUGAAGAAGAGAGUCUCCCACAAGGUGGGGGGGCUCGUCCAGCCACUGAAUGCUUUGCCUGAUCACCCUCUUGAGAAGAAUGAAAUACUUGAUAUCUUCUAUAAUGGACUAACAAAUGCUUCUAGGGACCACCUAGAUAGUUGUGCUGGUUGUGUUUUCAGGGAACGAAUUGUGGAACAAGCUGAGAUUCUAUUGAAUAAUAUCUUGUGCAAUGAGAAUGCUUGGACUAUUCCCGAACCACCUCCGAAGCCAACUCCGAAGAAAAGAGGUAUCCUAUUCCUCAGUCCUGAAGAUAUGCAAGAAGCUAAGAAAUCUAUGCAAGAGAAAGGCAUUAAAUCUGAAGAUGUCAAAAAUCUACCACCUAUCGAAGAGAUCCAUGGUCUUGAUAACCCAACAUAGGUAGUAGAGGUAAAUUCUCUUCAUAGAUUCAAUGAGAGUGAUAUUCCUUUUGAUAAACCUGCUAGCUUAUGCCUGGAUGAAUUUGAUAACUUUGUUGCCAAACAACAGAGUUUCAAUGAUUAUGUUAGCAGACAAUUGGAACAGAAUGCUCAUAUGCUUAGUCAUUUAUGUGCUUGUGUGGACAGAAACGUCAAUGAUCUUAAGCUUUUGAGUAAACAUGCAUCUAUGGUUACUACUCAGGUAGAACAAGUACUUAAGGCUCAGAAUGACUUGCUCAAUGACUUCAAUGGCAAUUCUUUUAGAGUCGUCACUAGAGGCGGUAGAAUGACCCAGGAACCUUUGUAUCCUGAGGGUCAUCCUAAGAGAAUUGAACAAGAUUCUCAAGGAGUUAGCACUGACGCACCUAGUCAUCCUAUGAAGAAAAACAAAGAUGAUAGGAACUUGCAUGCUAGCAACCCUGUUGCUGUUACACCCGAGAAUACAAACGAUGUCUCUGUUUCUGAUGCCGAAACACAAUCUGGUGAUGAACAUGAGCCUAGUGAUAAUAUCAAUAGUGAUGUUCAUGAUGAUGCUCAACCUAGCAAUGAUAAGGAUGUGGAGAUUGAACCAGUUGAUCUUGAUAACCCACAACCCAAGAAUAGGAGAUACGAUAAGAACGAUUUCCUUUCUUGGAAGCAUGGUAAAGAAAGGGAACCAUGGGUUCAGAAACCCAUGCCCCUUCCUCCCAAACCAUCCAAGAAAAAGGAUGAUCGAUGAGGAUUUUGAGCGCUUUGUUGAAAUGAUUAGACAUGUGUUUCUGCAAAUGCGUUUGACAGAUAUGCUCAAAAUGUCUCCUUAUGCUAAGUACAUGAAGGAUAUUGUGACUAAUAAGAGGAGGAUACCUAAGGUUGAGAUUUCCACUAUGCUUGCCAAUUACACCUUCAAGGGUGGAACUCCUAAGUAACUAGGUGAUCCCGGAGUACCCACUAUACCUUGCUCCAUUAAAGGCAAUUACGUUAGAACUGCUUUAUGCGAUCUUGGAGCCGGUGUUAGUGUUAUGCCUCUCUCUCUUUAUCAUAGACUUGAACUGGAUAAGUUGACUCCCACUAAAAUCUCCCUGCAAAUGGCCGACAAAUCAACUGCUUUCCCUAUCGGUAUUUGUGAGGAUGUGCCUGUUGUGGUUGCUAACGUUACUAUCUUAGCGGACUUUGUUAUUCUGGAUAUUCCCAAGGAUGAUACCAUGGCGGUCAUCCUUGGAAGACCCUUUUUAAACACUGCAGGGGCUGUUAUUGAUUGCAAUAAAGGCAAUGUCACUUUCCAUGUCAAUGGUAAUGAGCAUACGGUGCACUUUCCGAAGAAACAAUAUCGGGUACAUUGCAUCAAUGCUAUUGAAAAAACUUCAUCGAUUCUUAUUGGGAGCUUUGAAUGCCCUAUACCUACUGUUAAGAUGAAGUAUGAUUUGCUUGUUGGGGAUAUGCACAUCCCCAUUGAGUUAACCUAGUGACUAUUCGAAAAUUCUCCAUUUUUACGCGAUUCGAAAAAAGUUUGUCAAGGAGACUUGAUCAACCUCAUUGACGGAUUUCUUUUGAUGACCAUGAGAUGGAUGAAUCUAAGAGUCACAGCCCUCUCUUCCAAACCUUUACCUUUUGUUGCUUAGAAGAAAAUUGAUAGAUUUAGCUUUAGUUUUCCUGUUUUCUUCUUUUUGCGUCCCGUAGAAAAGUGUCCCAAAAAUAAAAGUUCUUCAAAUGCCCUAAAAAUCAAGUAUGAUUUUUUCUGGAAUUUUUGAAAAUUUCUGAGACGGAGAGCUAGUCAGGGGGAUGCACCAGUGGGCCACAAGCCCAGGAGGCGCGGGCACCCACCUUGGUUGUGCCUACCAGGCUUGUGGGGCCCACGUGUCCCCCCUCCACUUAUUCCAGCUCCCAUCCCCUGCUCCUACCUCAAGAAAAAAUCGUUCCACAGCUCAAACCCGUGUUCUUACUCUUCUUGCUGCAUUUUUCGAUCUCCUUGUGCAAAGCCCCAUUCACCAAACUGUUUUGGGGAAAUUGUUCCUUGGUAUGUGACUCCUCCAUUGGUCCAAUUAGUUUUUGCUCUAGUGCCUUAUUCGUUGUGUAUUUUUGCUGCCUUGGUGCCCCUGUUCUUGAGAUUUGCAUGCUAAUUUUAGCUGGUCCCAAGCAGUUUUGAUGCGUGAUAUGGCCUCUAGGCACUUGUAGGAGUAGUUGCUAUGAGUUUCGUUGAGCCUUGUUCACUUUUCCUUUGAGUCACUGAAAAUUUCAGAAAAGGAAGAUGUUCAGGAGAAACUAUCAUGGUGGUUCCUCAAGCAAGAGGGGUCCCUGUCUCGCGAUUCGGGAGCCCGAUCCUUACCAACCGAGGAACGCACAGGUACAACCAUGUGAAAGGCCUUCUGAUGAAUUCAUGAUUGAUGCAGGUUUCAAAGACGAGUUUGAUAUAUUUGUUCACAACGUCGGGCUCGAAGAAUUCAUCUCCGAUAAUUGUGAACAGUAUACUACUCUCACUGCCUCUUUUGUUCGUAGAUUCAAAUUUUCAGCUUGCCAUGACACAUCCAUACUGUUUGAUCUGUAUGACAAAUCGUAUAACAUGGAUUUAGAGGAUUUCAAUAGAAUUUGCAAGAUACCUGAUUAGGGGUAGUCUCAAUGAUCCUCCUAAGUCUUCGGUUAGAGAUUUUAUCUCUAGUAUAACUGUCGGAGAAACUAGAGAUAUUACGCAGGCUACCAUGGGGAGCAUUCAUUUUCUUGCCUUGCAUUACUUUGCCCUCUUCAUAGGUAGAUGUAUUAACGGCAAGAUUGAGCAUUAUCACCUCUGCGCACCUGACCCUAGUAUUCUUAAGAGCGCAGUAACGGGUGAUAGAAGUUUAAACAUGGGAGCUAUCGUGAGGAAGCUAAAUAAUAAUGCUAAUGAAGGGGAUUUCUUUGGUGGGAUCUAUGCCACUCGCAUAGCAAAUUUUCUUGGAGUACUGCUACUUCUCAAACAACAGCACCAGAAAUUGACACAUUGACGGAGAUUGGGCUUGCGUUGGUUUUUCCCUUGAAGAGGAAAGGGUGAUGCAGCACAGGAGCAGUAAGUACUUCCCUCAGUUUGAGAACCAAGGUAUCGAUCCAGAAGGAGGGUCUCGUCAAGUCCAGAGUACCUUCGCAAACACAAACAAGCUUGCACCCAACGCUUCAAAGGGGUUGUCAAUCCCUUCAAGAUUGUUUGCAAAGUGAGAUCUGAAGGCGGAAAGUGCAACGAAGUAAAAAGUGUAUGGCUGAAAAUAUGGUGUGGAGUAGACCCUGGCGGCCAUAGUGUUCACUAGAGGCUUCUCUCAAAAUAGCAAGUAUUACGGUGGGUGAACAAAUUACUGUCGAGCAAUUGAUAGAACCGCACAGAGUCAUGACGAUAUCUAAGGCAAUGAUCUAGCAUAUAGGCAUCACGUCCAAGACAAGUAGACCGAUACUUUCUGCAUCUACUACUAUUACUCCACACAUCGACCGCUAUCCAGCAUGCAUCUAGUGUAUUGAGUUCAUGAAGAACAGAGUAACGCUUUAAGCAAGAUGACAUGAUGUAGAGGGAUAAUCUCAAACCAAUGAUGAAAACACCAUCUUGUUACCCUUGAUGGCAACAACAUGAUACGUGCCUCGCUACCCCUUCUGUCACUGGGUGAGGUCACCGCACGGUAUGAACCCAAAAACAAGAACUUCUCCCAUGGCAAGAAUCAUAGAUCUAGUUGGCCAAACAAAACCCACAACUCGAAGAGAAUUACAAGGAUAUGAAAUAAUGCAUAAGAGAGAUCAGAAGAUACUCAAAAAAGAUUUAUAGAUAAUUUGAUCAUAAAUCCACAAUUCAUUGGAUCUCGAUAAACACACCGCAAAAGAAGAUUACAUCGGAUAGAUCUCCAUGAGGAUCAUGGAGAACUUUGUGUUGAAGAUCCAAGAGAGGGAAGAAGCCAUCUAGUUACUAGCUAUGGACCCGUAGGUCUAUGGUGAACUACUCACGCAUCAUCGGAGAGGUCGUGUUGUUGAUGGAGAAGCCUUCCGUGUCCGAAUCCCCCCUCCGGCAGGGCACCAGGUAGUGCCCCAGAUGGGAUCUUGCGGAGACAGAAGCUUGCGGCGGCGGAAAACUGAUUACGAUGCUCUCCUGAUUUUUUUGGGAAUAUUUGGGAAUAUAUAGGCACAAGAUCUACGUCAGGGGACCUCCAGGGGGCCCACAAGCCUGCAUGGUGCCCCCCUGGCCGCGGGGUGGGGGCUUGUGGGGCCCCUAGGGCUCUUCUGGCUUGGCCCCCAGGUCCCCCGAUCUUCUUCCGUUCCAGAAAAAAACUUUUUGGGGAUUUUCUUCCGUUUGGACUCCGUUUCAAAACCUCCUCUGAAAGGGGUCAAAAACAUGGAAAAAACAGGAACUCGCACUUGGCACUGAAUUAAUAAGUUCGUCCCAGAAAAUAAAUAAAAGGCAUGCAAAACAUCCAAAGUUUGACAAGAUAAUAGCAUGAAACCAUCAAAAAUUAUAGAUGCGUUGGACACGUAUCAAGUAACCAUCCGCGAAGGAGAUCCCCCGCUCCAUACAGCUUUCCUUGAUCAUGCUGCUUUGACACGUUAUCGGUUCCUUGAGAGGGAUAAUGAAUCCCUCCUAUACCGGUUAAUAUUUAACCGACAACGUGUUUUCCAUAUUACCCUUCCUGCUCCUGCCUUCUUUGACUUUCAGGUAAAAUGGAGAUAUUACAUAACCAGAGGAGAGGCAGAGGAGUAUGAGAGGGAGGCAAAGGCUGCUCGCCUCCGUGAGGCAGCUAUUCAGGCGGUAGCUGCCGCGCUCCCGUACAACCCCCAUUAUGAUUUUUGAUAUCACCCGGACCAGCCAUGGGAGUAGACGAACUUAGGCCAAAAGCUUAAGCCUGGGGGAGUACGUGUUUCUCACUGACUUUAUAUUCAUGCUCACACUUUCACUUCGAUAGUCGGUGUUCACACUUCGCCACUGUAUCAUCCAUGCUAGUUUAUUUCUUUUCCUCGCUUUCUUCUCGUGUGUUUGUUUAGAUUGAGAAAACCCAAAAAUAUUUCAUGUUCUUCUUUUGCUUGUUGGGAGCUUUCCCGUGUAAAUAGUUUUCUUUUUCUUUGGGUCAAGGUAGAAGACCAUGAUUACAAUGUUUAGUGGCUCUCGCAUGCAUAUCUGUUUAUCUGUCAAAGAGCCAUAUUACUUUGUCGUCUCCUUUGUGUUUGCUUGCAGAUUCCAGCUUAGUCCAAUGCACAAACACUCUUAUUAUUGUUCACAUCAUUCGGUCGUGCAAGUAAAAGGCAAUAAUGACGAUAUAUGAUGAAGUGACUGAGCCUGGAAAAGCUGGUAUGAACUCGAUCUAUUUUGUUUUCGUAAAUAUGACGAGCUCAUCGUUCCUAAUUCAGCUUUGUUGUGAGAGAAACAUGUUUGCAAUGAAAACUUAGAGAUCAUAGUUUCUGAUGCCAUGCUUAAUUGGCUAGGAGCUUAUAAUGGUUUGUCUUGGAUGCCAACAUGAAUUUUGAGAUGAUUAUGAUGUAGUAUGAUAGGAUGGUAUCCUCCUUUGAAUGAUUCAAGUGGCUUGACUUGGCGCAUGUUUACACAUGUAGUUGAAACAAGAUCAACAUAGCCUCUAUGAUAUUCAUGUUUAUGGUGAUUUAUGUCCUACUCAUGCUUGCACUCAAUGUUGGUUAAUCUCAAUGCAUAUUGAUGAUUGUUGUCGCUCUCUAGUUGGUCGCUUCCCAGUCUUUUGCUAGCCUUCACUUGUACUAAGCGGGAAUACUGUUUGUGCAUCCACUUCCAUAAACCCAAAGUUAUUCCAUAUGAGUCCACCAUACCUACCUAUAUGCGGCAUCUACCUGCCGUUCCAAGUAAAUUUGCAUGUGCCACUCUCUAAACCUUCAAGUAAUAAUCUGUUUUGCAUGCCUGAACCGCUCAUGUGGUGACAAGGGGUGAUCAGUAUCUUCCAUGCUAGGCGUGUUAUCCUCGAUACGUGUUUAUUCACUAUCAUUCAUGAGAAAGGGGCCGUUCAUUGGAAUGCCCAGUUCCAUGCUCAAAUUGAAAAUAUAAUCGCAAACAAAACUCCCCUGGAUUGUUGUUGGUAUGGACGACACCCGAGUAUUCGGCUAGUCAUGGAGUGUGAUUGAUCCGUGAUACGUCUCCAACGUAUCUAUAAUUUUUGAUGGUUUCAUGCUAUUAUCUUGUCAAACUUUGGAUGUUUUGCAUGCCUUUUAUUUAUUUUCUGGGACGAACUUAUUAAUUCAGUGCCAAGUGCGAGUUCCUGUUUUUUCCAUGUUUUUGACCCCUUUCAGAGGAGNNNNNNNNNNNNNNNNNNNNNNNNNNNNNNNNNNNNNNNNNNNNNNNNNNNNNNNNNNNNNNNNNNNNNNNNNNNNNNNNNNNNNNNNNNNNNNNNNNNNNNNNNNNNNNNNNNNNNNACCCCUUUCAGAGGAGAUUUUGAAACGGGGUCCAAACGGAAGAAAAUCCCCGAAAAGAUUUUUUCUGGAACAAAAGAAGAUCGGGGGACUUGGGAGCCAAGACAGAAGAGCCCCAGGGCCCCAUAAGCCCCCACCCCGUGGCCAGGGGGGUCGCGCCAUGCAGGCUUGUGGGCCCCCUGGAGGUCCCCUGACCUAGAUCUUGCGCCUAUAUAUUCCCAAAUAUUCCCAAAAAAUCAGAAGACGAUCGCAAUCACUUUUCCGUCGCCGCAAGCUUCUGUCUCCGCAAGAUCCCAUCUGGGGCAAGUCCUGGUGCCUUGCCGGAGGGGGGAUUCUGACAUGGAAGGCUUCUCCAUCAACACCAUGACCUCUCCGAUGAUGCGUGAGUAGUUCACCAUAGACCUACGGGUCCAUAGCUAUUAACUAGAUGGCUUCUUCUCUCUCUUGGAUCUUCAAUACAAAGUUCUCCAUGAUCUUCAUGGAGAUCUAUCUGAGGUAAUCUUCUUUUGCAGUGUGUUUGUCGAGAUCCAAUGAAUUGUGGAUUUAUGAUCAGAUUAUGUAUGAAUCUUAUUUGAGUUUCUUCUGAUCUCUCUUAUGCAUGAUUUCAUAUCCUUGUAAUUCUCUUCGAGUUGUGGGUUUUGUUUGGCCAACUAGAUCUAUGAUUCUUGCAAUGGGAGAAGUGCUUGGUUUUGGGUUCAUACCGUGCGGUGACCUCACCCAGUGACAGAAGGGGUAGCGAGGCACGUAUCGUGUUGUUGCCAUCAAGGGUAACAAGAUGGUGUUUUCAUCAUUGGUUUGAGAUUAUCCCUCUACAUCAUGUCAUCUUGCUUAAAGCGUUACUCUGUUCUUCAUGAACUCAAUACACUAGAUGCAUGCUGGAUAGCGGUCGAUGUGUGGAGUAAUAAUAGUAGAUGUAGAAAGUAUCGGUCUACUUGUCUCGGACGUGAUGCCUAUAUGCUAGAUCAUUGCCUUAGAUAUCGUCAUGACUUUGCGCGGUUCUAUCAAUUUCUCGACAGUAAUUUGUUCACCCACCGUAAUACUUGCUAUUUUGAGAGAAGCCUCUAGUGAACACUAUGGCCGCCAGGGUCUACUCCACACCAUAUUUUCAGCCAUACACUUUUUACUUCGUUGCACUUUCCGCCUUCAGAUCUCACUUUGCAAACAAUCUUGAAGGGAUUGACAACCCCUUUGAAGUGUUGGGUGCAAGCUUGUUUGUGUUUGCGCAGGUACUCUGGACUUGACGAGACCCUCCUUCUGGAUCGAUACCUUGGUUCUCAAACUAAGGGAAAUACUUACUGCUCCUGUGCUACAUCACCCUUUACUCUUCAAGGGAAAAACCAACGCAAGCCCAAUCUCCGUUAAUGUGUCAAUUUCUGGCGCUCUUGUUUGAGAAGUAGCAAUCGGUGGUGGGGGAGUCAAAUCUUUACUUUCUGUUUAGGAACCUCCUAUAGUAUGUGUAGCAUGGAAGAUGGUGAGAACUCUUGGUCAUUGCAUUGACAAUGAAAGCAUGCCACCCAAAAUUAUUUAUCUCUGUCUUCAAAGCUUGAGCUCUGGCACCUCUGCAAAUCAAUGCUUCCCUGUGCGAAGGGCCUAUCUAUUUACAUUUCUGUUGAGUCAUCCUCUUCUUAUAAAAGCACCAGUUAGAGAGCACCUCUGUCAUUUCUAUGCUUUGCUUUUAAUUGGUAUUGAGUAUGACUGUGACUGGAUCUUUCUUGGCAUGAAUUACAAUGUUCAGUCAACCCUUGGUCUUUGAAGGUGCUCUGCAUUUAUGUUUUGCGGUGUCAAAAAGAGCUAGCGAGAUACCAUCUGUUCAUAUUGCUUCAUGAUUGUUUUGAUUGAAGUGUUGACGUUUGAAACUUACCAUUAUUGCUCGCUAGUUGAUCAUGCCAUUGAUAUGAGUACAUCUUGAGACCUAAAUGUCAUUGCUUAUGUGGUUUGCUUAUGAUAUUGUUGAAAUUCUGAAUAUGAGUUAGACAUAAUUGCAAUAACAAGAUCAAACAGAGUUCAUAAAAGUUUUUCUUUUGUCUGUUUCAGUUUAUCAACUGAAUUGCUUGAGGACAAGCAAGGCUUUAAUCUUGGGGGAGUUGAUACGUCUCCGUCGUAUCUACUUUUCCAAACUCUUUUGCCCUUGUUUUGGACUCUAAUUUGCAUGAUUUGAAUGGAACUAACCCGGACUAACGUUGUUUUCAGCAGAAUUGCCAUGGUGUUGUUUUUGCGCAGAAAUAAAAGUUCUCGGAAUGACCUAGAAAUUUGCGAGGAUUUUUUGUGGAAUAUAUAAAAAAUACUUGCGCAAGAAUCAACCGGAGGAGUGGAGCGAGGAGCCCACAAGCCCAUGAGGCGCGGGCCCCCUGGCCGCGCCUAGAAGGCUUGUAGGGCCCUCGGGGCUCUGCCGCCUCCAACUCCAACUCUAUUUAGUCCCUUUCGUCCGGAAAAAAAAUCAAGGAGAAGAAUUCAUCGCGUUUUACGAUACGGAGGCACCGCCACCACCUGUUCUUCCUCUGGAGGGCAGAUCUGGAGUCCGUUCUAGGCUCCAAAGAGGGGAGAUCGUCGCCAUCGUCAUCAACAACAUUCCUUCAUCGCCAAUUCCAUGAUGCUCUUCACCGUUCGUGAGUAAUCUCAUCGUAGGCUUGCUGGACGGUGAUGGGUUGGAUGAGAUCUAUCAUGUAAUCGAGUUAGUUUUGAUGGGGAUUGAUCCCUAGUAUCCACUAUGUUCUGAGAUUGAUGUUGCUACUACUAUGCCAUGCUUAAUGCUUGUCACUAAGGCCCGAGUGCCAUGAUUUCAGAUCUGAACCUAUUAUGUUCUCGUCAAUAUAUGUGUGUUCUCGAUCCUAUCUUGCAAGUUGUAGUCACCUACUAUGUGUUAUGACCCGGCAACCACGGAGUGACAAUAGCCGGAACCACUCUCGGAGAUGACCAUAGUAUGAGGAGUUCAUGUAUUCACUAAGUGCUAAUGCUUUGUUCUGGUUCUCUAUUAAAAGGAGAACCUUAAUAUCCCGUAGUUUCCAUUAGGACCCCGUUGCCACAGGAGGGAUGGACAAUAGAUGUCAUGCAAGUUCUUUUCCCUAAGCACGUAUGAAUAUAUACGGAAUGCAUGCCUACAUUACAUUGAUGAACUAGAGCUAGUUACAUAUCUCCCCAUGUUAUAACUGUUGCAUGAUGAAUGUCAUCCGACAUAAUCAUCCAUCACCGAUCCAAUGCCUACGAGUUUUUCCUACUGGUCCUUGCUACAUUACUUUGCUGCUACUAUUGUCACUACUGCUACUGUUACCGCUACUGUUGUCACUGCUGCUAUUGUUACCGCUACUGCUGUUACUGCUGCUACUGUUACCGUUGCUACUGUUGCUAUCACACUACUUUGCUACUGAUACUUUGCUGCAGAUACUAAGUCUUUCAGGUGUGGUUGAAUUGACAACUCAACUGCUAAUACUCGAGAAUAUUCUUUGGCUUCCCCUUGUGUCGAAUCAACAAAUUUGGGUUGAAUACUCUACGCUCGAAAACUGUUGCGAUCCCCUAUACUUGUGGGUUAUCAGUUAUCCCGCAAAUUAGAAGAAAACUGGGGGCUUUGUGGGAGUAGGGACCACCAGAAAGUAGGCGUGAGACACCUCGGGCCCACUCAAAUCCCUCUCUCAUCUCAUACUCUUCCACUCUGCCUCCUGCUCCCCCUUGCUUUACACCCACUCCCUCCUCCUUCGUCGUCAUCAUGGUACCUAUCCAACCGCCAAAUAGGCAUUGACGGAUGUCUGCAGUCACGACCAAUGCGCCGCUCGCCUUUUUCUACGGCGUCAUCCACACAGGAUUCGUUCGUAGGCAGGUACUGUCCACUCCGUGUUGAUGGGGUCCGUGGUGGACACCACACCCGAAAAGGUGUUUGCUGAAAAUGCGAUUGAGCUUAUUUUUUAACUUUUUCUAAUUUUUAGAGUAAGAAGGAUGGUGGGGGUACUUUACCAUGGACGAGUUCUUGUGCGAUGUGUGGUUGGUUGUAUGUGCUAACAUCAUAGGGAGGUGCAUAAGGGGGCCUUUUGGUAGUGCAUGCAUGACUCUUUCGUCCGUGAAGCACAUUGCACCCUAUGACAUGCACACCAUCCAUGAACGGAAUGUUAUGUUGUUAGCAUAUCAAUGUCAAGUUGUUAGCAUAACGAUGAUGGACCACUCAAAACUCCAUAACAAAGUUUUGUGCUGCGGUUGAUCGUAUUGAUGCAUUGUGGCCGUUGCGCAAGACACCCUUCGAGAUCGUAUGUUCUGCUUCCUCUUGCUAAACUUGUUGAUUUAUUUAUUCAUUCACUCAAUGUUUAUCUACAUGUUUUGUAGCAUGUGUGUGUUAUUGUGAUGUACUAUAGAUCAAUGGACAUACCUUUCACGCACAUACAUUGUUGGAUAAAACUCAAGGGGUAGUAUGUGUGUGACAAAAUGAUCCAUCAAUGAAAAACUUGUUGAACAUUUGGUUGAUCUCGUUGAAUUUGAACUAUUGUUGUACUAAACUUUUUGUAUGCCAUGUAUGGUUGUUUUAUGUUAUUUUGUAUCCGAACUUCAUUGAAUUCCAUCAUGUAUAGUUGCAAACAUAUGCGGCUAGCUGUGGAUCGCCGUCUCCCGCAUUACUGCCCGCAGACUGACCCCCCCUAGGUUUGUAGAAGGAUGUGUUGUCCGUUUUGUGGGUGAGAGUUGGCGGUGCCCUUCCACCAAAUAUUAGCUUUGUCUUAAUUUCAAAUUUGUAAAUUUUGACAAAAAUCUUGACAUAAAUAUGAUUGUAUCCUUCAUUUAAUAUAUUUUCACAUCAUAUAUAUUUUUAUAGUAAAUAUUCAUAUUGUUUUCCAUAAACUUGGUUAAAGUUUAUGAAGUUUGACAUAGACCAAAACCAAUAUGUAUAGUAAAUAAAUAUAGAUGAAUAGCUAUUUUAGGGAUCUCAUGUAGGUCAUGAAACUUUGAAAGGUGAUCUCGCUACUGGAAGUGUAAUUCCUAAAAAAUGCAUUACUAGAUCAAUAAAUGUAUAGGUAUGACCAUUGUUAAGGAAAUCGUUAACUGGUAACUGCUCGAUCGUUUGGGCAAUAGGGGAGUAAUGGCCUAAUCGGGAAGUUAAUCAGUCAUUUAAUCAAUUAAUUGAAUGAUGUUUUGGUUUAUCGGCUACUCGAUGACCCUAUGAGUAGGGAUUAAUCGACAAGUUAACCGGAUGAAUUAUUGAACAAAGGUUAUCACAACUUUUAUUAAAACAUUCAGUAUAUAUUAUCAAACUACAGCACCGGGUCCACCAUAGUAUAUAUGCAUACCAUACUUAUUGACAUCAUAACCAUCAGUAGUAUAUUUAUCUAAAUUGCUAGAGCCAGGACGAGCCUUAUUUGUAUGUGGAGUAACAUGAUUAUUGUUCUUAUCCACAAUUUGGAUAUUUUUCAUAAAAGCUGCCUUUCCAUAACCUUCGGAACCAAAAUGACCGCUACCCAUCUGUGGAGAGUUUGUCGAGGCCGUUGGCCCUGUAACAUAUCCACCCCAUAAUGCAUAAUUACAGCUUUGCUUCAUAUAAUGGAAUAGUGAACUUGGCCAAUAUCCGAUAGGUGUAUUUUUCUCGCCGUAAGUCACCCACCAAUUUUUAGUCUUUGGGUCCUAAAAUAAAUCAAGGUUGCAUAGUAAAUGCUUGAUCAAAAUUGAAACGAAGAGACUAUAUGAUAUGUAUAUUGUAGUAAAAGUAUCCUUAUCAUCAUAUCCAACAUAUAUUUCAUGCUUCAAUGUUAAAAUAUCUAUUACGUCAAAGGUUAUUAUUAUUUGUAUUGCCUAAUGGUAUUUCCACUAACAAGUUCACUUAGAGCAAUGCUUGCGAGUCAAAAAAAUCAUUAGAAACGUUAUUGUUUCUUAUGAAAUAAAGGAAAAAUAUAAGCAAAAAUACAAAUUUUAACAUGAGAAUACCUUAAAAAUUUGAACAACAAUCUCAUACUGUGGCCCAUUGUAAAUAGAAACCGGAUGUAUUCUUCCUCCAAGACCAACUAUUGAGCUAACUUGUACGAAAGCAGGACACUCAUGAUCAACACAAUCCUUGUUUUGCAAGCCAUCAUACUACAUCAAAUGUAUUCCAAUGUCCGUAAAAAUAACAUCAUUAUGAAGUAUUUACAUUUCUAUAAACAAUGUUCAUCCAAAAAAAUAGUUGUCAUUUACCCAGUAAACAUGAAACCUGGCAAAGUUGUCACCACUGUAGCUUGGAUAUACCCAAGAACCAACACCUAUUGAAUCUGCAUUGGUUACUUCCGACCUCCCGCCAAUUUGUAUAGAUGAUGCACUAAGAUCCUUACUUCCAGUCUUCACCUUUGGCUCAUAAACAUUUAUUCUCGCUCGCGUUCCGUAUAGCUCAUCAAAAUAUUUGAUUCCUGCGGCCUACAGACAAAAAAAGUUGCAUUUUUCAUGAAAAGAGAAAAAGCAUUAGCAUAGUUAAAAUGUUUGACAUCAUAUUACAAGUAAUAUUACUAGAAUUUCAAUUAAUAUUGCCUAGAUACUAAGGGCAAUUUAUAUAAAACAUUUGUACAAAAUGUGGUUGGAACUUGGUGGAGACAAUAAAUUUCAAAUUUAUUUCCACACUAUCGACACCAAAUAAAUUUCACGUUUACACAAUUAACUAUUUCUUUUACUUGUUUUAAUAUAUUGGACAAGAAAAUCCAAUCCAAAUAUGAAUUUGCAUGGGAUACUCACCUGGAGUGUAUUGGGACAUGCAACUAUAUUACACCAUUAUUGUACAUUCAAUGUCCUCAUAGAAACUUAUAUAUUUUCAUAAUCUACCUAGCUAACUGGAUCACCCAAACCAUGUGCUAACAUGAUAUUUACCUCUUGUUGUUCACCUUUGGCAACCACUUGAUCAGUACUAUAUGUUGCCACGUGGUCCCCUCUAUUGUUACGCAGUAUUGGAAUCGUUCCUGUAGGGCAGUCAAUGAUAGACAACUGUGCUUGUGGGAUAGUAUGCAUCGAUGAUGGAGAUUCCGUGUGCACAUUAAACGGGAGAGAACUGGGUUCCAUCUAUUUAAGAAAGAAAACUCAAUCAUCAUAUAAUCAAAUGCAUAUUUCCAGCAAUAAUAAAAUAUAUGCACAAAACUAAGGACAUGUACAUUUGAUCGUUUGACAAAAAGUUGUUUGGUUUUUCUUCUAGUACAAAAUCAUUGCCUAAAGAGAAACACAAAGUGAUUCAUGAUAAAUGUGAGUGUAGCUGAAUAAAAGUACAACCAUUACUACAUAUGAUAUGUUACCUACCUACAAGUGAUUAUAGAGAACAUGCCCUUCAUUUUGGAUUCAAACAUGAAUAUUGACAUUUAGUUUAGCCACUACAUAAUAGUAACGAUAUCAUCAUGAUAAUAAAUGACCUGGAUUUUGUGAUCUUUCAGCAAUGGGUGGUGAAAGGCGGGUUGCAGAUUCACACCAACGCAGUCAUAUACAUCUCCACCUUCAACCUAUUUUGAUGUUUCAUCAUGUUCAUAAUAAUCACAUAAAUAAGGAUAUAUAUGGAUAAUAAGAAGAAUACAUGUACAUACCAUAAUAGUCUUGUUAACUUGACAAUUCAUGAGGACCCUAGAAGUAUUGCUCCCUCCUUUUAUACAUUUUCCUUCGGUACCUCCGAUGGAUAGAGCAAAAUAGGCAAACAGAAUGAUCACUCUAAUUGAUGGCUUUUCUUUCAUGGUGGAAAUAUAGCAUGGUCUAUUUCUCAUGUUCAUCCUUCCAUAUUUAUAAUGAUAUGAGCAUUUCGUUGAAUAUCUGGCAUUCAAUAAGGGCUAUCAAUUGCAUUGAAGUGUGAAGAUCUCACAUCUUAAAAAAGCAUGGCAUUAAUUGUUUAAGAUGUGAUAAUUAUUUCAUACCUUAAUUCUCUUUUGCCAUCGAAUAUUUUAGGUACUCACAUCAAAUAUGAAUUUUAGGUCAAUUAAUAGUGUUGAACUAAUGAACGCGCAUAUUUUGUGAGUGUGGGUAUACAAUAUCGACCAGUGAGUGCCUAAGGUCUUGUGGGGUGCAUUUAGUCAUGAUGAGGUAGGUACUUGAUGACCCACAAGUAUAGGGUAUCAAUAGUAGUCAUUUAGAUAAGUAAGGGUGUCGAACCCAACGAGGAGCAGAGGGAAUUCAUAGGCAGUUUUCAACAAGGAUUUCAUUGCAAGUAUUGUGAGACAAUUAUAAUAGAUACUUUGUUAGCAAGAUAAUUGGUAACAAGUAGCAAGUAAAAAAGUAGCAAGGUGAAGCAAUGUGGCCCAAUCCUUAAUUAUGCUAAGGACAUGUCGGUGAUACUUCUUAUAGUGAACAAAAGGCUCUUGAGGAUAGAAAGGAAUAUCGCCAAGUUACUUUCACCGCAAUUCAUUGACUUAAAGUUCAUUACCUUCAUAAGAGUUAUGAGGGUGGACCCAAGCUAAGGUAUUGUUCUUACUUUAAAAAAUACAAAUAUGUGAUUAUACCCUCCAUGCAAGCAUCCUUAAAUAAAAUAAAAAGUAUUUAAGGUAAACUUAACCAUAGAAUUAAACACGUGGCUUCAUAACCCACAAGUAUAGGGGAUCGUAACAGUUUUCGAGGGUAGAGUAUUCAACCCAAAUUUAUUGAUUCGACUCAAGGGGAAGCGAAAGAAUGUUCUCAAGUAUUAGCAGUUGAGUUGUCAAUUCAACCACACCUGAAAUAUUUAGUGUCUGCAGCAAAGUAUUAGUAGCAAGGUAGUAUGAUAGCAGCAGUAGCAACAGAUUAACAGUAGCAGCAGUGACAGCAGUAGCGGCAAAGUAACAGAGCAAAGACCAGUAGUAAAAGACUCGUAGGAAGUGGAUCGGUGAUGGAUGAUUAUGCCGGAUGUGAUUCAUCAUGCAACAGCUAUAACACGGAGAGAUAUGUAACUAGCUCCCGUUCGUCAAUCUAAUGUAGGUAUGUAUUCCGUAUGUAGUCAUACGUGCUUAGGGAAAAGAACUUGCAUGACAUCUAUUGUCCAUCCCUCCCAUAGCAGCGGGGUCCUAAUGGAAACUACAGGAUAUUAAGGUUAUCCUUUUAAUAAAGAACCGGACGAACGCAUUAACACUUGGUGAAUAUACGAACUCCUCAUACUAUGGUCAUCUCCGGGAGUGGUUCCGGAUAUUGUCACUCCGGGGUUGGCGGGUCAUAACACAAAGUAGGUGACUGCAACUUACAAGAUAGGAUCUAAAACACACAUAUAUUGGCGACAACAUAAUAGGUUCAGAUCUGAAAUCAUGGCACUCGGGCCCUAGUGACAAGCAUUAAGCAAGGCAAAGUAGUAGCAACAUCAAUCUCAGAACAUAGUGGAUACUACGGAUCAAUCCCCAUCAAAACUAACUCGAUUACAUGAUAGAUCUCAUCCAACUCAUCACCGUACUACAAGCCUACGAUGAUAUUACUCACGAACGGUGAAGAGCAUCAUGGAAUUGGUGAUGAAGGAAGGUUGAUGAUGACGAUGGCGAUGAUUUCCCCUCUCCGGAGCCCANNNNNNNNNNNNNNNNNNNNNNNNNNNNNNNNNNNNNNNNNNNNNNNNNNNNNNNNNNNNNNNNNNNNNNNNNNNNNNNNNNNNNNNNNNNNNNNNNNNNNNNNNNNNNNNNNNNNCCCUCUCCGGAGCCCAGAACGGACUCCAGAUCUGCCCUCCAGAGGAAGAACAGGAGGUGGCGGCGCCUCCGAACGCGAUGAACUCUUCUCCUUGAUUUUUUUUUCUUGGCGAAACGGAGUAUAUAGAGCUGAGAUUGGAGGCGGUGGAGCUCUGUGGGCCCCACAAGCCUGCCAGACGUGGCCAGGGGGGUGGCCGCGCCUCCUGGGCUUGUGGCCCACUGGCUCACCUCCUCCGGUGGAUCUUUGUGCAUGUAUUUUUCAUUAAUUCCGGAAAAGUUCUCCGUAAAUUUUCAGGUCAUUCCGAGAACUUUUAUUUCUGCACAAAAACAACACCAUGGCAAUUUUGCUGAAAACAGCGUUAGUCUGGGUUAGUUCCAUUCAAAUCAUGCAAACUAGAGUCCAAAACAAGGGCAAAAGAGUUCGGAAAAGUAGAUACGACGGAGGCGUAUCAACUCCCCCAAGCUUAAAGCCUUGCUUGCCCUCAAGCAAUUCAGUUGACAAACUGAAAGAGACAAAAGAAAAACUUUGACGAACUCUGUUUGAUCUUGUUGUUGCAACUAUGUCUAACUCAUAACCAUAAUUUCAGCAAGAUCACAAGCAAACCACAUAAGCAAAUGACAUCUAGGUCUCACAGUAAACUCGUAUCAAUGGCAUAAUCAACUAGCGAGCAAAUAAUAAUAAGUCUCAAACGUCAACACUUCAAUCAAAACAAGCAUGAAGCAAUACGAAUAGAUGGCAUCUCGCUAGCUCUUUCUCAGACUGCAAAACAUAAAUGCAGAGCACCUUCAAAGAACAAGGGUUGUCUAAACAUUGUAAUUCAUGGCAAAGAAGAUCCAGUCACAGUCAUACUCAACACAGUUAAAAGCAAAGCAUAAAAAUGACAGAGGUGCUCUCUAAUUGGUGCUUUUAUAAGAGGAGGAUGACUCAACAGGAACAUAAAUAGGCAGGCCCUUCGCAGAGGGAAGCAUUGAUUUGCAGAGGUGUCAGAGCUCAAGCUUUGAAAACAGAGAUAAUAAUUUUGGAUGGCAUGCUUUCAUUGUCAACGCAAUGACUAAGAGUUCUCAACAUCUUCCACGCUACACAUGCUAUAGGCGGCUCCCAAACAGAAAAGUAAAGUUUUGACCCCCCCCCCCACCAAUCAAUCACACUCCACGGCUAGCCGAAUCCUCGGGUGCCAUCCAUACUAACAUCAAUCCAGGGGAGUUUUGUUUGCAAUUAUCUUUUCGAUUUGAGCAUGGAACUGGGAAUUCCAAUUACCGACCCCUUUCUCGUGAAUGAUAGUGAAUAAACAUAUAUCGAGGAUAACACGCCUAGCAUGGAAGAUACUGAUAGCCCCCUGUCACCACAUGAGCGGUUCGAGCAUGCAAAACAGAUUAUUUCUUGAAGAUUUAGAGAGUGGCACAUGCAAAUUUACUUGGAACGGCAGGUAGAUACCGCAAAUAGGUAGGUAUGGUGGACUCAUAUGGAACAACUUUGGGUUUAUGGGAGUGGAUGCACAAGCAGUAUUCCCGCUUAGUACAAGUGAAGGCUAGCAAAAGACAGGGAAGCGACCAACUACAGAGCGACAACAGUCAUCAAAAUGCAUUGAGAUUAACUAACAUUGAGUGCAAGCAUAAGUAGGACAUAAAUCACCAUGAACAUGAAUAUCAUAGAGGUUAUGCUGAUUUUGUUUCAACUACAUGCGUAAACAUGCGCCAAGUCAAGCCACUUGAAUCAUUCAAAGGAGGAUACCAUCCUAUCAUACU
RNAcentral lists this long non-coding RNA (54144 nucleotides) under Hordeum vulgare. RNAcentral's name for it is "long non-coding RNA (HVUL_LNC016971)". The record is from RNAcentral. Lineage: Eukaryota; Viridiplantae; Streptophyta; Magnoliopsida; Poales; Poaceae.